This 70319-nucleotide long non-coding RNA is filed under the name Phoenix dactylifera (date palm). Its description in RNAcentral is "long non-coding RNA (PDAC_LNC000251)". The record is from RNAcentral. Lineage: Eukaryota; Viridiplantae; Streptophyta; Magnoliopsida; Arecales; Arecaceae.
UAAGACAUUUCGUUUCGCUCACCUCAAUAUGCAGCAAAUGCAGAAGUCCAAGACCUCUUACUUUCCAAUAUAUUACCUGUCUCAAUGAACUUAGACAUGGUCAUGUAACCAAUGUUAUGAUCUGAAGAUUUUUCCUACUUCUAGGAAGUUCAAUUUUAUAGGUGAAUUUUAAAAACUUAUCCGGCGGAUAUGCAGAUAAGUAUCCAAUAAAAUAACCAUCUUAUAAUGAAUCCACACUGAGAUGAUCUCCUAUGGUUAAUUUCUGGCUUUUUUACGGAUUUAAGAAAAAGGAUUGAGGAACCAUCUUAACCCAAAAUACUUUAAUGAUCAGAAGAAUUUAAAUACAUCCAAGAAGGCAUAGGCCCAUAUAUAACUAAGUAGACACUUGGAUUUUACUUGAGAAGAUCGGUUUUAAAAAAUAAACCCAGUCGCCUAGUGAAUCAGUCCUUAUGCUCUUGGUCUAGAGCCAGAAAGUUUAUGCUGAACAUACAGAAAGGAAAAUUUUUUGGGGGGAACAAACACUUGCUCCUUACGCCAAAACCAUCCCAAAUAAAAAUGACGUGUUUGGGAUAGUCGAGAAGCCUAAGCAAAGUCUACCGACCAGAUUGUACUAGAGCCUAUGACAGCAAUACGCAACAAGAGAGUAAUACACACCAUUGCACAAUAUUCAACCACUGUAACAUGAACAACUGUAAGUUAGAAUAUAUAAUUAUGCUCCCCUUAGCCGUUUGCACCAAAACCCUUUUUUUAAACCCUUGAUUCCGACGUCCCUCUACAUCAACAAAGUGCUAGCUAAUGCAAUUUCUCCUUCGCUUACUUCUAUGACCAAUCAUAAUUCACCAUUGUCCAACUACUUCACUCUGCACUCCCCCUAAAUUACUGGGAAUCACACAUCACUGUUUUCCAUUUUCCUUGAUCCCUUUAAUACCUAAUCUUUGGUCUUUUCUGUCCCUAUUCGGUAUCCCAAUUCACAAGAUGGACUACCUCGUAACCCAAGACCCCUCAAGCCUUCUACAGAAAAACAGUUCAGAUCGCCUUCAAUCUAUUUGCACUGAAUUUGAAAAUAAAAUACACAAGUUGAAAAAAGUAUGUCUUUGACAGGGUCAUUUCUGACAUCAGACAAAAUAGAAACUUUCUUCCAAAAAGAAAUCCAAAAAUUCAACGAAACGCAGAACUAAAAACCAUUUUCUUCUGAAAUGUUCAGUUAUAUGGAAUAAGGCCUAACUUCGAGCUUAUAAACUGUGAAAUAAUUCUAACAUCUGCACUUAAAAAGGCAUAUCAGCUUAAUUCUACUAUCAUAUAAGAAUAUUUCCUUGGUCAAAUGGAAUAAAGAUAUGCUGCCGAUGUGCAAAGAAUGCCACAAUGAUGGGUCCACCAAAGCUCUGCUGCAUACAUGCACCAUCCUGUACUGGUCUGGUGAAUAACGCAUCUAGGAAAUCUAUCACCAAGAGUCAGAAAGAUUUCUCUUUUCAAACAAAGGUCUUUAGAACCUUGUGAAAGAGGAGGCACCUAUAUUCAGGAUGGGUUUGAUUAUACUCAUUCUUUGCAAUUCUAGGAAUCCAUCUUGGAUUAACAUAUUAGAAGAAAUUUAAGCAUAUUAUAUUAUCAUAGUCACGAUGAUCCUUACAUGACUCUUUAUUAUGAUUGUCAAUGAUUUUCGAAAAAACACCAAUAGCACAAAUAAUUAACAUUCCAUGAGUCAAGAAAGUAUCUUUGAUUUCCAUAUCAUGAUCACAAGGCCCUUCAACAGUACCAUAAUUAGAUUCAACGAUCAAUUUAUCAGGAAUAUCGAGGAAGUUUUAUGCUUUUCCUCUUGUUUUAAAUACUAACCAAUCAAUUUACAAAGGAUGAUUAAUGAAGAAGAAGGGGAUAUCCUUACCUCCUUAUAAAUAUCUGUUGAAUUGUAGGAAACAAUAUCCAGAUUCAUUCUAAGGACAGGUUCCUUACAAUUCCACUAGAGUAGAGAUGAUCACGUCCUCAUCAUAUCAGAAGGCACAAUGAUUUAACAGAAAAACUCAUGCCCUAUAUCUAAAUAAUAUUCCAUAUGACAUCCAAUGAUCAAACAACUAAAACUAACCCACCUUGUCAAAAAUACAGAAAGCGGGCAGCUCCAGCAAGGACACAAAUAUCAUUGUGAAGGAAAAGACUAAGCAUGGCAUAUGAAAACAAGAAGUAAAGACAUGAAUUAACGGUUACGCCAAUGGAGGAGGUCAUACAACUUUGAAAUCAAUCAUCUAAAAAGUUAAAAAAAAGGGCAGUUAAUAGUUAUUUCCUUCACAAGUCAUAUUUUUUAAGUUAUCUAUGAGCACAAACUUCUUUUCCAAUGUCUAUCUAACUGCUAUAGUUUGAACAUUUAUGCCACACAAAUGCCGAACAUCUAUCUUUUAUUCUUCGGUGAAUAUAGAACAAGUUGUAUCUAUGCCUUCAAUAAACACCCAACCUCAAACAUCUGAUCAAUCAUUCUACGCAACCUGCCAUCUCCAAGGUCAAGGUCCUAUGGAGGAGAUGGCCAAUCAAACUUUUGCUGACCUGGUACAAGUAGGGAUGGCAAUCGGGUCGAGUCAGACAUAAUCGGGUCGAGUCAGAAUAAACGGGUCGGGUCAGAUGUUAAACGGGUCAGAAAAGUAUAAAUCUGAACCCGACCUGUUUAAUAAACAGGUCACCCGACCCGACCCGUUUAACCUGUUUAUUAAACAAUCGAUUAAACAGGUCGGGUUGGUUUAUGCUUACCCGUUUAACUAAAUAUUACUGUAAAUAACCAGAAAUAAAAUACUCAAAAUAAAAAAGGACCUUUUUUCGCCCGCUACCUUCUCGGCUUCUCCCGACCCAUCUGCCGCUCCCCAUCGCCGCCGACCGCUGCCUUCUCCCGACUCGUCCGCCGCUCCCCAUCGCCGCCGCCCGUUGCCUUCUCCUGACCCAUCCGCCGCUCCCCAUCGCCGCAGCCCGCUGCCUUCUCCCGACCCAUCCGCCGCUCCCCAUCGUCGUCGCCCGCUGCUUUCUUCCGACCCAUCCGCUACUCCCCAUCGUCGCUGCCCGCUGCCUUCUCCCGACCCAUCCGCUGCUCCCCAUCGCCGCCUUGUCCACAGCAGCGCGGCUGGUCCCAGCGCAGGCCCACUCCUCCCAAUCCGAGCUCCCGUCUGCCCAGCCGAAGCGGAUGAGGACCUUCUCCAUCUACCACUGGAAGCCUGGAACCUCGACGAUCCCUCCACGCCUCGGCUCCAGAGCUACGAGAUCGAUCUUGCCGAGUAGAUGGAGACCGUCCUCCGGAUUGCGAAACCCUUGAGUUGCUACGCCGUUACCUCCAUCACAGUCCGUGGGCUUGCUUAGGUCCCUGCUGUGGUCGCCAUUGACGAGGAGGCGGAAGUAGUCGACAAGGGGGAGGAGAGGCGAGGGGAGGGUGGAGGCGAAGAAUCCGGAGAGGGCAGAGGCGGAGGUCCGGACGAGAGGCGAGGGGAGGGCGGAGGUGAAGAAUCCGGAGAGGGUGGAGGAGAGGGGAGACCGGGAGUCAGGAGUCGGAAGAGGGACACUGAGGGGUGAAAUUGAAAUAGAAUCGGGGAAAUCCCUAGGGAGAAAGGAGAAGUCGCGGUGAAAUUGGGCCGAGCAGCGUGCGGGCCUUUUUUGGGCCAAAAAUUUGAUCCACCUAUAUUAAACGGGUUAAACGGGUUAAACGGGUUAAGCGGGUCAGACAUCUAAAAUCCGUAUCCGACCUAAUUAAUAAACAGGUUAAACGGGUCAACCUGUUUACGAUCCGAACCUGUUUAGGCCAAACCUAAACCUGUUUAUGACGGAUCGAACACGGAUCGGGUUGGCGGGUCAGAUCAUAUUUUGCCACCCCUAGGUACAGAUCAGGUAGUGGGAUACCAUCCCAUAAGGACGUGAUCUAAGCAAAUAAAACCAAAAACUAAGCAAUGUAAAGGGGAUUCAUGUGAAAGAUAACUCAAGAAGUAUAUAGCUAGGAGCUUAACUAUCAAUAGCAAGUUCCUUGCAUUAGUGAGGGAAAGCCUUACAACUAGCACUUUUGGCAAAUGAUAUGGCACGCAAUAGGAAGCUGCUGGAUACUCCGUUUUUGAUGCAGUAGUCAUAUUUGUUACAUACGAUAUAUCCUUGCAUACUGCAUAUGGUCCAAGAACAUGUAUAAUACUCCUAACAAGUAUUUCUUUUUUUUAAAAAAAAAGUUAUUUGAUACUUCUCCAAUACAUUCUGAUACCUUCCAAAUACUCCCGAACUACCUUAGGAUGAGGGAAAAGUUUCUUUUUCUUCUUCUUUUCUUUUCUUGUUCUUUUUGACAAACAUGAUAGAUCUCCUAAGACAACUCAUCUUUUAGAAUUUUCCUUUUUGUUGAAUAUCUUUUUAUGAAGCAUGAACAUGAUAUUCUGAUAACUUAGUAUACUUAAAUACUAUCAUGUACUAGCCAUGGAAUAUCCAUAUCCCAUACAUGUGUCUGCACUUCAUCGGACACAUACGUAGCACUCAAAGUUGACAGACUUUGCUUAGAGGUUGAAGCUAUAAAACCUUAUGUUCAAGAGAAAUUGCUUAUGGAUUUUGGCGAGAAAUACACUACUUUCAAAACAAUUAUUAUAUGAUACUAAAACAAAACUACCAUGUGAUACAGGACAGUAGACUCUACAAUUAUAAAUAGUAAUUAGUGUAAACAGCAGAUACCAGGCUUUUUUAGCCUAAUGGUUCAUGGAGUAGUUUCAAAAGCAUUAUUUUUAUACAUUCCUAUCCCCAUAACUCAACGCCUCUCUUGGAUGGCUUUAUAGAUUUUUUGUUCUCUUGCAGUCCAGAGUAAAACAGAUUCGUUCAGAAGCUACAUAUUUCAAUACAAAAUCUUGCUCAAAUUUAUGCCUGACAAUCAAAUUCAAGCUUUCCCUAUAGACACAAAUCAUAAAUUUUAUUUUUCCAUUAAGUAUGAAUUUGUUAGCAUGUCCAAAGACUAAAAGGCCUCAUAUUCAACCAGGAAAUAUCACAAAGCACUAACAUACUGAUAUCAUAAAAUUAAACUCCGUAAUCAUAAAACAAAGGCAACCAUUAUAGCUCACAAACAACAUAUGAUGACUAUCAUGGAUUCACAGUUCUCAAGCAGUAUAGUACUGAACAGCAGUAAAACAAGACCACAAAAAAUAGAAAAUUUCUUCAUCCUUGUUCUGAACUUUCAAUAACUGAUUCACAUGAAGUAUAUCUUAUUUCCCUGUUUAUUCUUCAUAUGAACCCAAAUUCAUUACAAAAUUCAAAAUUGUUCGAGCUACUAGCAGAGUCCGCUAUUUAUAAUUUUGCAAUAUUCAAGUCAUCAACUUUCCACCCAAAACAAAGAAGUAGAAGAAUAUGGAGAUAAGAUGAACCUUUUUAAGGGAAUCCAUUAAAGGCUAGCAGCCGGCGGGGCCGGGACCACGAAAUCAACGACGAUGAGGCUCUCAAGCAGCGGCCUCACCUUUUCCUUAUGCGCCUCCACAGCCUCAUUCCCUUCCCCGUCCAUUGCAUCGAGCUCCUCCAACCCCGGGAACACCGAUAGAAACUCCACGGAGUACCCCUUGGCCCUCGCCGGCGAGAAGUUCUCCCCGUAGCUCACCUGCCAGGCAGACGGGGCGGCCCCUUUGGCCCCUUGGAUCGCGGUCAGGAGCUCCGCCGCCGCCUCCCCCUCCUUGGGCUUCGCCAGGGUCAGCCGCAUCGCUGACCCCGGUGGCGGCGCCGGUCCGUCGAGGUCAGCGACCCAGUCGACGGCCAUGAUGUUGUCACAAAUGGGGAGGACGUGUUCCUUGACGACUGCCUGGUGAGCGGGGUGGGCGGAGUAGGCGGCGAGGUCGGGCUUGGAGCGGUAGCGGCUGUGAAGGAGGUGGGUGAAGCCGGCGGCGGAGGCAGCGGCGGAGCGGUUACGGAGGAUGGGCCCCGCGGCGAGGUGGGAGACGAUGUCGAGGGAGACAAGGGACCGGAGAUUGGAGAUCAUGGCGUCGAUCUUGGAGGGAUCGGUGGAAUCGCGGACCUUAAAGAGGACUACGUGCUCAACAGUGGUACAGGCAGCGGCGGCCAUCUUUGUGGCGGCAGAGUAGGCGGCAGAGGCGGCGGACAAGGCGGCGGGGGCGGCGGAAAGGAUUAGGGAGGGGCGGGCCGGAGAGGGAGGUGAGAAUAAGGAAGGGGGGAAAGGCAGGAGGGGAAGAGAAGAGAUUUGAAGGGGGCGUAGGGGCGGUGAAGACACGGGAGGGUUUUCAGACUCAGCAUCUCGGUUCGAAGUGGCCUUCUCGUCGACUCAAGUGUGGGGCGUUCGUUGGAAAUUUGACGGCAAAGGUGGUGCAGGUUAGUGUGUGGAUGUUCCGCAGGGAUUGUAACUUCGUUUCGCUUUCCCAGAUGCACGAACCUGCUGGAUCCUUGCAGUUCAAUUUGCAGCAAGCAUGAGAGCUUUUUUGGUAAACAUUAUUGGGAGUUAGUGUAAAAAUCUUUAAUAAAAAAUUUUAAAAUUUAAUAGAGCAGCAUUUACCAUGCCUUGUGAAUGAUUGUGUGACGACAUUUCACCUAAAAAAAUCAUUUUGCUAAUGAAAAACAUUUAAUUAAAUUAAACACUUUUUGUAUUAUUUUUUUGUCAUCUUUGAGUGAAUGAAGAUGUUCUCUUUUUUUUUCCCUUCCGUAUUACUUCAUUUCGUUGGGACUAUUACAAUCUAAAAUUAUGCACAAUCUCGCCUAUUAUAAUGUAUAAUAUUGGAUAUCACAGCUACCACAUAUUGCAUGCACAAUUUUGGUAUAAUAUCACAGUUGUCAUAUAUUGCAUGUACAAUUUUAGUAUGAUAUCUCAGAUCAAUCUCCAAAAAUCAUAAAUCUUGGUAUGAUAUCACAGCUGCCACAUAUUUAAUGCACAAUUUUGGUACGAUAUUACAGAUCAAUCUCUCAAAAUUAUAAGAAUUAAUUGUCAUAUUCAAAAUUAAUAUUUAUAUUAAAUAAUAGAAUUUUGCUAUUGUAUUAUACUAUAUCUGAUCUCUAGUAUCUUUUCUAUAAUCAUGAAAAUUUAUUGUUGCAUUCUACUAAAUCUGGAGGGUCAAUUUGUAUAUAAAGCACAUCGGUGCUAUGAACAGAUAUGUCCAAUACAAAUUUUUUAUAGUAUCAAAGCAGGUUUUUUCUUGAUCAAUUAACCCCUCUUUCUUAGUCUCCUGUCAUCCUCUCGGUGUUUGUUUUCCUUAGCCCUCCAUUCUCUAUUUUAUAAUCAUGGCUUCUUCUAUUGUUAUUUCUAAUCCUAGUGCUGAUUUAACGUCAUCAUUCUUUCUUUACCACUCAAAUAGCCCAAGCACGAUACUGGUCUCUCAAGUCUUCACUGGUGAUAAUUAUCCUCUAUGGAGACAUGCCAUGAAGACUACUCUCUUAGCUAAGAAUAAAAUUAGCUUUAUUGAUGGCUCGCUUAAAAAGCCUAAUAAAAGUUCAGCAACACUUGAUGCAUGGCCACGUUGCAACACAAUGGUGCUUUUCUGAAUUUGGAACGCAGUCCAAAAAGAUCUUAUGAGUAGCAUAGUCUAUUUUGAAACUGCAAAAGAGGCAUGGGAAGAUCUAGAGAGGUGCUUUUUCUCAUGAUAAGGCUGCCCAAAUCUAUCGUAUCAAAUGUGAUAUCUCAAUGCAUAUUCAAAAUCAAUCAUCUGUUGCUUUUUAUUUUACCUACUCGACCUUCAUCCACUUCUAAUCAAGAUUCCAUCGAACCAGUUAAUCUUUUUGAAACAUUCGUCGAUCCACCUCCAAAACGCUCCACAAGGAUCUGACAUCAUCCCCAAUGGCUUUAAGAUUUUCAGUGCUCUCAACUUUCAUCCUUUUCUUGCCCAUACCAAAACAACCUUGUGACAGGUACUAAGUAUCUACUCCAAAAUUAUCUUUUCUUUGAUAAAUUCUCCAGCUCUCAUCGUGCUUUUCUAGCUUCUAUUUUCUCUUAUCAGAAAUCCAAGUUCUUUUCCUCAACAAUGAAACAUGCUCACUUGCUUGAUGCUAUGGUCGAUAAAAUUAAGGCCUUAAAGUUUAAUCACACUUGGACCGUGAUGCCACUUCCACCAAGCAAACAUACCAUCGGAUUCAAAUGGAUAUAUAAGAUCAAAUACAAGUCCGAUAGUAGUAUUGAAUGGUAUAAAGCAAGGCUUGUUGUUAAAGGCUACACUCGCGCUAAAAGUCUAGAUUACCAUGAAACAUUCGCUCCUAUUGCCAAAUUGGUCGCAGUUCGUUGUCUUAUUGCAAUUGCAGCCACCAAACAAUGGCAUCUGUAGUAGCUUGAUGUCAAUAUUGCCUUCCUCCAUUGUGAUUUACAUGAAAAAGUUUACAUGCAACUGCUACCAGAUUUUUCUCGAAAGGGGGACAAAAGAGAAUAGUUAGUCUGUCGCCUCAACAAAUUUUUAUAUCGUCUUAAACAAGCCUCUCGUAAUUGAUUUUUCAAAUUCUCCACUACACUACUUCUGGCUGAUUUCACUCAAUCAAUUAUCGAUCAUUCACUCUUUACCCUUAAAUCCAAAGGCAACAUCACCAUUAUGCUUGUUUAUGUUGAUGAUAUACUCAUUACUCGCAAUGAUCCUUCUUCCAUUGCUUCCAUUAAAUCUUUUCUCUAAGAUCAAUUUCGAAUUAAAGUUGUUGGCACACUUAAAUACUUUCAGGGCAUUGAAGUUGCACGUUCCAGUAAAAGUAUUUUUCUCUCUCAACAGAAAUAUACCUUAGAUAUUCUUAGAUGCAGUUGUUCUAGAUGCUAAACCAGAACACACCCGAUGGAGCAAAAUUUUAAGUUAUCACCUGAUGUUGGCGAACCUUUAUAUGAUCCAAGACCAUACAAACGCUUAAUAGGUCAUUUGAUCUAUCUCACAAUCACUCGUCUAUAUAUUACUUUUGUUGUCAAUCUUCUAAGUCAAUUUUUGCAGGCACCACGCCAACCCCAUAUGGAUGUUGCUUUUCAAGUCUUAAGAUACCUCAAAUCCUACUCUUGCUUUGGUAUCCUCAUGCAUGCUUUGAACAACUUUCAUCUCAGUGCUUAUUGUGAUGUUGAUUGGGCAACUUGUUCUACUACUCGCCGUUACAAGUUAUUGCUGUUUUUUUGGUAAUUAUCCUAUCUUUUGGCAAACAAAGAAACAAAGUACUAUUUUUCGCUCCACCACCAAAGCUGAGUAUCGAUCAAUGGCCUCUACCACUUGUAAAUUAGUCUAACUCAAAAUUCUACUCUCUAACUUGGUUAUUUACCACCCUCAACCUAUGUCUCUCUAUUGUGAUAACCAAGCAUCACUUCAUAUUACUACCAACCCUGUAUUUCAUGAGCGGACAAAAUAUACUGAAAUAGAUUGUCAUGUCAUUCGACAAAAACUACAAGCAGGCACAAUCCAUACCAAGUUUCUUCGAAGUGACAACCAGCGUGCUGAUAUUUUUACAAAGACUUUGGGUUGUGAUCAUUUUUUUAUCUGCUAAGCAAGUUAGGUAUUGUAGAUCUACACACACUAACUUGAGGGGGAGUAUUACAUCUUAGAAUUAUGCACAAUCUCGCCUAUUAUAGUAUAUACGAUAUUGGAUAUCAUAGCUGCCACAUAUUACAUACACAAGCUUGGUAUGAUAUUAUAGCUACCACAUAUUGUGUGCACAAUCUUAGUAUGAUAUCUCAGAUCGAUCUCUGAAAAUCAUGGGAUCUGAUUGUUAUAUUCAAAAUUAGUAUUUAUAUCAAAUUAUAGAAUUUUGCUAUUAUAUUAUACUAUAUCUGAUCUCUAGUAUAUUUUUCAUAAUCAUGAGAUUUUAUUAUUGUAUUCUACUAUACUGGGGGCUCAAUUUGUAUGUAAAGCACAUUAGUGCUAUGAACAGGACAAGCAAUUCAAAUCAUAUGUCCAAUACAAAUUCUUCAGUGGCUAGUCUUAUAUUAAACAAAUAUGUUGUAUAAUUCAGUUUUAAUUCUUAAGAGAGCAAGAUAUUUUCUGAAAUUAGGAUGUAUAUAUUAAAGAAAAAAAAUAAAACUUAUAAUCAAAUCAAAAAUCAUAAAGUUACAAUCGACUAUAUAACACGUUAUAGACAUUGUAAAUGCCGUAAGGUUGUAAGAAAGAUCAUGUUCAUAGCCCAAGUAGUAUUUCAAAGUAAAUACUAAGGCAGCAUUUUUCAAGUCAGAUGCACUUGGAACAAGCACUACAAGAAAAANNNNNNNNNNNNNNNNNNNNNNNNNNNNNNNNNNNNNNNNNNNNNNNNNNNNNNNNNNNNNNNNNNNNNNNNNNNNNNNNNNNNNNNNNNNNNNNNNNNNNNNNNNNNNNNNNNNNNNNNNNNNNNNNNNNNNNNNNNNNNNNNNNNNNNNNNNNNNNNNNNNNNNNNNNNNNNNNNNNNNNNNNNNNNNNNNNNNNNNNNNNNNNNNNNNNNNNNNNNNNNNNNNNNNNNNNNNNNNNNNNNNNNNNNNNNNNNNNNNAAUUGGAAGAAUUUUUUUUUUUGGACUGAGUUAGGUCAAAAAAUAUUUUGAACACGAACCAUGAGGGAUGUUAGUUUUUCCAUAAUUAAACACAUGAAAAGAGUCAUAUUUUAGAGCGAUGAAGAGAAUACCGACCGAGUAACAUGGAAUGCAUUAUGAAACCCAAUUUCAUACUUGGUGAUGCUUGGUAUACUUAAAAGCCCACCGCGGGACACCAGAAACAGGCCCCACUGCCUAUAAAUUGGAUCAAGAGCCCUCCGACAAACCGAGUCCCAGCGCCAACGCUUGUUAGGGUUUUCUCAGUCUCCGCGGCUCCUCGCCCUUCAGCUUCUUUGGGCGAGAAGCCCUUUUUACAAUUCUUCUAUGUUCCUUGAUUUUUUUGAUUUGAUCUCUAUUCUCUCCUUUCCUCCUGUUGGAAGAUCUUAUGCUAAUUUCUUAGAUUACAGGGUCAUACAUCGCUUCUCUGAUAUUUGCUAAGCUUUUCUAUGGUUUCUGUUAGUGAAUGAUGUUGUUUUCAUCCAUUGUUUAUUUUAGUGCCAAGAAGCAGCAGAAGGCCCGAGAUCAGCAACGUCUAUUUCAGUUCCUCAUGCACCUUCGCCGCGAACCCCUUUUUCUUUUUUCUCUUUCUUAUAUCUAUAUCUCAACUGGAUCGUGACGAAAGGUUGAGGAGUCUCAUACUCUAGUACACCUAUUCCGGAAAGAGAUAGACCGAAAGUAGAGCUCCUGUUAAUCGAGUCAAAGCCAUUGGGACCUAGCUCGGAUGAAUCAUUCGAAUCUAAUCUGGUUCUGGUGAUUGCGUCUAGUAAGGAAUGGGCCGAGUUGUUGGACGAAGAUAAGAAAACAACCCCUUACCAUAGUAGGGCUAUGUUCACUGGAACUAUACGGUUNNNNNNNNNNNNNNNNNNNNNNNNNNNNNNNNNNNNNNNNNNNNNNNNNNNNNNNNNNNNNNNNNNNNNNNNNNNNNNNNNNNNNNNNNNNNNNNNNNNNNNNNNNNNNNNNNNNNNNNNNNNNNNNNNNNNNNNNNNNNNNNNNNNNNNNNNNNNNNNNNNNNNNNNNNNNNNNNNNNNNNNNNNNNNNNNNNNNNNNNNNNNNNNNNNNNNNNNNNNNNNNNNNNNNNNNNNNNNNNNNNNNNNNNNNNNNNNNNNNNNNNNNNNNNNNNNNNNNNNNNNNNNNNNNNNNNNNNNNNNNNNNNNNNNNNNNNNNNNNNNNNNNNNNNNNNNNNNNNNNNNNNNNNNNNNNNNNNNNNNNNNNNNNNNNNNNNNNNNNNNNNNNNNNNNNNNNNNNNNNNNNNNNNCGGAACAGUAAAAGAUAUUCAAUAGACUCUUCAAGGUUCAGUAGUGCAUUAUCUGUGGUCUCACCCAGCCACAAUUUACUGAGCAAAAAAUUGGAUGAUCAUAAAUGUAUAUGCUUCAGGAAGCCAAGAUCAUCUAGCUAUUGCAGGGAGCCACCACCUAGAUCUUUUAAUUUCCACUGAAGGGUGUAUGCCCAUUUGAUCCAUGUAAGGCACUACCAUGGAUUUGAAUGACAAUAUAGAUCUGCAUUUGGUUGAAGUUUUAUUUAUAAAGCUCAUCCAUAGUUUUCCCAUAACACACACACACACACGCACACACAGAGAGAGAGAAUUGUAGCUCCAAGAAUUGCAGCUCUUAUGGUAAUGGAUGGGGUUCUUAAUGCUCCAAGAAUUGUAGAUAUUCUCGGUUUGAAACUUAAGUUCCUGACUAUGCUGCCAAAAAUGUGCUGGUCAAUGCAAUGUAAUUUUGACUAUGCUGCCAAAAAUUCCUGAGUCCAAAUUAUUUCACUCUUGGCUUUNNNNNNNNNNNNNNNNNNNNGCCCAUUUGAUCCAUGUAAGGCACUACCAUGGAUUUAAUAACAAUAUAGAUCUGUAUUUGGUUGAAGUUUUAAUUUAUAAAGCUCAUCCAUAGUUUUUCCCAUCACACACACACACACACACACACACAGAGAGAGAGAUAUUUGUUUUAAUUUCUAAGUUGCAAAAGCUGACCUUAUGGAAGGUCCAAAUGUUGUACUCUAGAUGUUCUUUCUAUUUGUGGUUUUUCUGUUAUCAAGCAUCGGCUAGUCACCACAUUUUUGUUCAAAGUCCUUAAAGUUGGCUUUGUCUAUUAAGCCUGCAACUUUUGGUUAUCUUAGUUAUGUUUCUGAUCAGCUUGUAUACCUUCUCAUCCAGAUUUAUAUAUAUUUUUUUUUUUGGUAUAAAUGUAAUCUAUCUUAUUGAUCAUUAUCUACAAAUAUGCGGCUCUUAUGGUAAUGGAUGGGGUUCUUAAUGCUCCAAGAAUUGUAGAUAUUCUUGGCUUGAAACUUAAAUUCUUCUUCUUUGAGUAUACGUGUAUAAUGUACUUUUUUCACAUAAAAGGAAUUUAUACAUUUUAAGUUCAUUAUUUUCACCGAAGAUAACAAGUUUCAUCUAGAUAGUGAAAAGAGAUUUGGGGUCAACAUCUCUACUAAGAAAUUCAAAGAUCCUACUUGAUCACAGUUACUUGAGAAAGCACUAAAAGUAUGGUGAAUGGACUCAUCCUGAAAAAUAGAAGACAUGAUACAUCUUUCUGUGUCCAAAACCAUCCGUUUGAUUGAUAUACUGUUGUCUUCAUUUAUUCUUCACUUUCUAUGUACAAUGUUGACACAUAUUUAGUUUUACAAGUGUCAUUUUGUUGAUUUUUCUAAUUGUGUUAUCCAAGUGAGAACAGUGAUGCCAACUAAUUUUGUGAUAUAUAUGCAGACUUGAUCUUGAUUUGCAAGAGAAAAUAAUGGAAGUGAAUUGGAACAAAAGCACCCAAUGGAUCCCGAAAGAGAAGUUGCCUAGUGAUGUAUUCGUAUUCGUGUAGCCUGCCUCGCUCGUCUUAGAAAGAAAGAAAGAAAGAAAGGAAGAAAGAAAAGAAAAAAAAAACAUAGACCUGAAUAUAUGAUCACGUAAGAUUUAAUAGUACACUUAAGGUUUUUAAAAAAUUACUUAUCCCUUUUCACCUUCGGCUAAAACUCACAUCUGAUUAUUUUAUCUUCUUCUGUCUGUAUUAUGUUUCCUUUCGUAAUAAACUUCAAAUAGGUAGAUUUGUUGGUAUAUGGUGCUUAAAUGGCCACUUGGUUACACUCCCCACAACAACCAAAAAAAAAAAAAAACAAAGGAGGGAGGGACCGGGAGAGAACGAGUGCGAGAAAUGGCCAAUUUAACCCAAUGAUCACCCACAUAAAGAUAAUUCAAACCAAUGAAUCCCUUGUGAAGACCAUAUAAGAUGAGAUUAUUGGCAUCAUGUAUAUAGAUGGUAAUUUAUGACUCGAUUUGCCAAUCUGACGUGCAAACAGUCCACCUUAAAUAACUUUAGAUUUGACGUAAAUAGAAUUAGAUCGUAAAUGGAUCAAUCCGUUUAAACCUAUUUAUUAAAUGAAUUGAGUUCAGAUUUAAGUCUUUAAUCCAUUUAAUCUAUUCAAAAAUUAAAUAUACUUGUAACUCUAUUUAAUCUAUUCAAAAUAUGUUUAAUUUAUUUAAAACCUAUUUAAGAUAUUUAAUCGAACCUACUUAACCUAUUUCAUUUGUUUAAAAUUCUUUAAUCUACUAAAAAUUUGUUUAACCUAAUUUGAUCGGUAUAAUAAAUAGAUUUUGUGGGCCAGAAUGGUUUUAUUUGUUUAAUAAACACGUUGAAUCAAGAUCUAAAAUCUCGAUCUGUUUAAUAAAUAGAACAGAUUUGGCUCGAAGAAUUUUUAAUCCGAUCUCAUGCAAUUGCCGCCCCUGAUCGUUGGUUGGUGGGGGCAAUCACUUACUUAUCCUUCUCUUCAUAUUUUUCGAUCUUGCCGAAAAUCAAAUAGCAGCCUUACGUAAGGGAGCUGCUGCUACUCUGAUCAUUUGUGGUUUUGAAGUACAAUCAUGUGAAAUGCUGAGAUCCAUGAAGUGGAUGUUUGCUGCCCCCCUGAGGACCCACUCGAUGCGUUUUGAUGACUUUUAGUGCGUGCCAGGUGGAUACUGUUUCAUUUCUCCUAACGAGAUAGUAGAGCCAUUAUUUAACCCAAAACAAGACCGUCAUGGCUUGGACAAACUCCUAAAAUUUAUCUCUUUCAUCUCAAGGUGGGACUAAUAAUAAAACUCGAGGAAAUUCAAAAUUUUGGUAGAAGGGAAAGGAUAGAGAUUGCUUCGAUAUUGACAUUUUCAUGACAAAAUUGAAUAAAAAAGAUUUGCUAAUCUCAACAUAUAGUUUUUUUUUUCAUUUUAAAAUGCAAAGCAUGAAGUGAGUCUUAAUUGCACAUUAAUAUAACAAGUGCAUAAAAUUCAAUGGCAUAAAUCUAGGCUAUGGAAUUGUUAAGGCAUUCUAAAUAAAAAUAAACUGGUAGUGAUUAACAUUCCUUUUACCGAAGAGUUGUUGAUAGGCAAUAAACAUUUUAGUUUUUGGAGUAGAUUUGAGCAGUAUGAGGAUAGAAAAUUUAGUACUGAAAUGAUUGUCAUAGUUUGGUGGAUGGCCAUUGAAAGUUAUUUAACAAUGUAAGGAAAAUCAUAAAAUUAUAUCUGAAAAGCAAGUGAUACAUUAAUUAUCUCUCUCCUAUUUUCCGGAUAUAUGCUUCACAAUUUUUGAAAAUUUACGAGAUUAAAAGGGAAAUUUCUAAAAGAAUUAAAGAAAAUUAAACAAUAUAUAAUAUGCACAUUUUUUCUCUUUUUCUAAAAAUAGUGGUGGGAGAACAACCAAUCAAGUUCAAAUCCAAAUACUCUUUUUGGCUGGAGUAGUAAGGAGAAAGAUGUCAAACUUUAGACUAAAAUCUGACUAUCUUAAUACACCUACUUUUGAUAACACCCAAAACCCUCUACGUAAGGUUGGACUUAUAUGUCGAUGGGGGUGUGUGAUCGGGUUAAAUAAAAAGUGACUGCAUUAUAUGUAUUUCUGGAAAAAUCUUACUUCGGGAACUCCGCUACCUCUUCUCUUAUAAGCGAUUUCAUUUCUUUUUCAUAUCGCUCUUUUUGAAAAUAUCAUUUUCUAAUAUUCCUCCACCUUUCUUUUCUUAUGCCUUAAGUCUUUUCUAUACCUUACCUUUUAAUUUUUUCGAUCUAUUUUUUGUAUAGUGUAUUAAGUUACAUCUCCAAAAAUUAGAAAAGAAGAAGACAAUAUUUCCACAACAGAAGGUUUUGUCGCUACAAAUUAGAUCAAGAGUUAUUCAUGCAAAAGGUAGGUGGAUGAUCUCAUCUUUCACUUUAAUCAAAGCAAUUCCAUCUUGAUCUCUAAAGAACAUAGCGUAAAUUGGGAUCUUUUUGUACAUUUUAUCUUUCUUUUUUUUUUGUUAUCAUGUAAAAUUUUUUCCACUAUAAUUCAAUCAACCGAUGAGAAUUUAUGAUUUUGAGGAAUAUAAAUUAAACCUAAUUCAUUGAUCAAAGAAGCAUUUCAGGCUAGAUACUUUAUAAAAUUAUAGUUAAUUUUAACAAGAGAUUUACAAAUAGGUUGUGCAAAUUAAGAAUCUGCCAAAUAUUUUUUCUUUUAUCAAAACAUUAUCUAUGAUAAUUAAUAUCAUCCCCUCUAAAUUUUAAAGCACAUACAAGAAGGCAAUUUUUUUCAACCUCCUUGGAUCUACUUCUAAAUAUUAUGUCCUACGAUGCAAAUUUUUUUAUAUAUUUUUUAGAUUACAGCAUGAUAAUGAGAAAUUAAUCUUUAUCCUUUUUUGCAAACAAUACAUUGUUUCUCUUUCUUCCCCUAAGAAGGAGAAUUCUUUAUUAAAAAGAUGAACAUUGAUCGGUUGAAAUAUUAAAAUGAGAAUAAAAAUUUAACCAUUGACUAAUUGACUAAGGUUUCCAAACAAAAUAUUGAUGGAAACCUAUUAAAGAUUAUAUUUAUUUUUCUUUUUUUGGUCAACUUGUACAAUUUCAUUGUGCAUAUGUGUAUGUAUGUAUGUGUAUACAACUAAGAUGUAUAGAUAUUUACACAAAGGCAAUAAUAUUAUUUAAAUACCUAUUUCAUUCAUUUUAAAAGCAAAUUCCAUAAUUUUUUAGUGUAUUGGGUGCGUUAAAAAAAUCAUGCAGCAUUGAUAAUAAUGAAACAUUUAAUGCAUUUUUAAAAUUACGAAGACAUCCCUCUUGAAUUUAAAUGCAAGAGAUUCCAAAUAGCUAUAUAUAGCAAUGCUUUAAAAACCAACAAAAGAAAGUCCCAAACAAACAUCCCUAUCUCUUGGAAAUAUGAAAUCCAAAAUAACUCAAUAUAUAGAUGCUCAUUAAUAAACCCCAUGUGCAGCCUUUCAAUGCGCCAUCUCGUACCAUAAUCCUAUGCAUGUCUAUGUAUGUUUCUAUGUUAUUUAUUUUUAUUCAUAUAUAUUUUAUCACCUCUAGUUGCAAAAGCUUUGAGGCUAACCACAUGUCACAUGCUCGAAUUGGACAUUGCCUUCCACGAUGGACCUACCUUGGUCCACUUAAUAAAUUUUCUUUCUUCGGGUUAUCUUUUAGUUUUUUUUUAUCCUAUGUAAAAAAAUAGAAAAGCCCUCGCAUACUUGAAAAUGUGUAUAGCUAGAACUAGUAUGCACAAUGUAACUUUUAUGUGGUGAUCUCCAUGGAAAGCUUAAUAAAGGGUAGAGGUCACAUUUUUUUUUCUUUUUAAAUAGACAGAUCUGAACGGGACCAGCAACCUUGCCUAGAUUCUUGUCAUUGCCAUCGUGUUAUUAUCUUAAUCAGAGGAUUAUGAUCUCAACAACUAGGAUUAGGAUAGCUGCAAUUGGCCCGUAUUUUGUCGCCCAUAGGAGGGAAUAGGGGCAUAUUGGGAAUAUGACCUCAAAAAGAAGGCGGGUUCGUUGGCCCGUAGGUUCCGUCAGGCCGCGCUCCCAGGUCCGGAUGGGAUGUCCGCACGCGCCGGAAAAGUAGUGGCCCUGGUCUGGCCCGAGAGAAUAUCUCGUCCUUUGUCUCCACGUGGCGCUAAACUAUUGGCGGUAAAUUUACGGGCGGGAGAUCAUGUCUUUUUUUCGUCUCAUCCCCGAAUGUAUAGGGUGUUACCACUUUUACAAAAUAUCCCCGAUCUUUGCAUGUUAUUACAAUUACGCCAUCAUAACCGUCUAUUUUGAGUGGACGCAAAUCUUGAUGCGGAUUGUAGGAGGUGCUGUGGUGCGGGAGCCUCAACCUUGUACUAGGGGAACACCUACCUCGGCCUCUGGGAUGCAAAGAGACAUGGCCUGAAUGUGUGAAUUAAAUCAAUUGACUUUUAGCAAAAAUAAAUAAAUAAAUCAACUGACUCGCACCAAAUCUAAUUGAGCCCAUUGGAUUGGAUGAGGAAGUGGAGUGCUUAAGAUGGAUGGCUGAAUUAGCCCCGGUAGAUGACUCAGCAUGAUUGUGGUCUUUAGACUUAGAAAAAUUAAGUGGAAGAUUUAGAUGACUUAAUAGCAAAAGCAAAAGCUAUAUAGGAGGCUUCAAAUUAGGCUAUCUUUAUGAGAAUGCAAUCAAAUAGUAAGAGGUUCACCGCACAUCUUGCUGAUAAAUGCUUGUUGGCCACCUACUUUUUGUAUCAGUCAACAUCUAGAGGAAAGGAUAAGGUGUGAACCUUACAAUUCAUAUAUGUUAUCCAAGAAAAAGACCUACAAUGAUGCAUAAACUUCCUAUCAGAAGGUAUAUAUCUAUUAAAUUUUGUUAUAAAGAAUUACAGAUGGUUUCCUUUCUCAAUCACAUAUCUCUUUCUUAAUCACAGCCUAUCUAUAUAUCUCACAGGGGGAAAAAAAGAAAGAGAGUUUCCUUAAAAUUUCUGUUCAUGAACAGGGAGAAAAUAUUGGGUGAUGCAUGACUUGCGAAGAUGAAGACACCCUGGUAUUAACCAUAGAGAGACCCAAUCUUGUGGGCUACGAAUCAAGAAAAAUAGAAGGGAGGAUAUUAUUGAAGUUUUACAAGAUAUAUAGCCUCAACCAAACAGUAUUUAAUUUAGACUCUCAAUUAUUGCUUGAAGCCUUGGAACACCAUAUAAAUUAAUCAAUAUCAAUUAAUCAAUAUCAAUUAUUACAGCAAUACAUUGUUAUAUAGCAAGGAUUAAUAUAUAUAAGAAUUCAGAAAAAUCUAGACAGAGAGAGAGGUCCUAGUGUGACGGACAAAUCUACUUAUUCUCUCUCUCUCUCUCUCUCUCUCUCUCUCUUCAUGUAUAUUUUUAGUUUCAGGAGGCCCUGUACCUUUCCUUCCGGAUUCGAUUAAAUCGCCGAUGCCCCUUCUCUCUCUCUCUCUCUUCCCCCCCUCUCUCUCUGUUUGGCUUCUGAGAAAUGUCCCAGACUUCCAAGGUAAGCCUAAGAGAAAGAAAACAUUGUAUAGAUAUAUGGGUCUUAUGUUUUUGUAAAAAAUUAUCUUGUUUUCCUGCUGAGAUUUGUGGUGAUGGAAAAGCCAACGUCCCAAUCCGUUUUCUUUGAUCCUUUUUUUUAAAUGAGCUUCAGUUAUUUGCGGAGAUUAGCAAAAAUUUGGCAUCAAAAUUCGAUCUUGCUUAGGAUAUACUUUGUUUUCUCUUCCUUUUUCCUUUGUCGGGGUCUUGCUUUAUUCCCAUUUCAGGAAUUCUUUCUGCAAGAUUUUUUUGUACGUUUGAGCAUUUAGUCCGCACCAAUUCUGUCCUCUUCUCCUCUUCCAAAAAGUCUCUUUUUUUCCCCCCGAAAUUUUAUUGUAUUCUCUGUUCUUUUCUCCUUUCUUUUUCUCUUAAAUUUGUCCUCCUCCAUUGAUUCGUUUUGAUGGUACAUUGGUUCUUUCUUUUUAGCUCCCUCGAGUUUUGAUCUUGGUGGUGAAUGGUGAUAUUCCCCUUUGGAUGCGAGACUUCGGGUAUGGGAUUUUUCUAAAAGGCCAGGGGAAAACAGUUCUCUUUUAUGGAGUUCGAUCAUCUUUUAUAUGCUUAUUAAAAAGAAAAGAAAACAAUCUUUUUAUCAUCUGAUUUCUUUGUGAAAAGAAGACACGGAAGCCAUGAUUUCCUCUCUGUCCGUGUCUCUCAUGCCUCCUGGUGCCUUCUGAUACAACUCCAAUAGAUUCCUCUCUCUCUCUCUCUCUCUCNNNNNNNNNNNNNNNNNNNNCUCUCUCUCUCUCUCUCUCUCUCUCUCCCUCCCCUUCUUCUCUAUCCUCCUUGGGUUCCUCACCGGGCUUUCUGUUUUGCUUCAAGAAGAGAUGGGAUGAUGGGAAAACUUCCUUUUUACCUCAGUUGUAUCAAACUUUGUCCCCUCCUUGAUGUCUUCCUUCCUCACUUGGGUUUCUAGUUUUAAGAGCCUCUUUAUGUGCUUUUUGAGGAGUUAAAGCUAGGUUCUACCCAGAGAUCUCCUCUUUUUCUAACACCCUUCUCUUCAUUGUGUUGUUUCUUUUCUUUUUUUCCCUCUAAUUGGCAUGCAGGCCUGGUUUUGACUCCCAAGCGAGGAGGAGGAGGAGGAGGAGUGGAUGGAGAGGGACACCUUCUCAGGCCUUGGCAAUGGCACCCAGGUGGACAGCAAAGUUCUCCAGACUUUCCAGAAGAGCUUUGUCCAGGUCCAGAGCAUCUUGGAUCAGAAUAGGCUGUUGAUCAAUGAGAUCAACCAGAACCAUGAGUCGAGGAUCCCCGACAACCUCAGCCGGAACGUCGGCCUGAUCCGAGAGCUCAACAACAACAUCAGGAGGGUCGUCGAGCUCUACGCCGACCUCUCUAGCUCAUUUGCCAAGUCCAUGGAGUCCUCGGAGGGAGACUCAGCUGGCACUCUUAGGUCUUCUGAUGGGAAGCCUGGCCAGAAGAGAAUUAGGCCUGGGUAGACGCAAAGUGAGGCAGAGCCCCUUGUCUUCUUCCUUGGGAGGCACAGAGAUAAUGGUGGUAGGAUUGGACCUUGAUAGCUUCGCAGAGAAAGAGAGAGAGAGAGAGAGAGUAGAGUCCAAUAAUAGGUGAUUUCUUGCAUUGUUGUAAUCCUAUCUAACUCCGCUUCCUCUCUCUGCUCUCAUUGAAAUGAUGCUCUGCGUGCAUUCUGAAGUAGUUUAAUUUUCUUCUAGUGUUCUUGUAUCCGUCCUAUGGACAUCCCAUAAUAAUAGAGUGAGCAUUGCAGCUUUUCUUAUAGAUUGCUGUCGAUCCUUAUUUGCUGGGUUUUUAUUCUUGAAGCUAAUUUUCUUUAUUUAGAUUGUUGUUGAAUCUUAUAUUGGUUUUGUCCGAAGUUGUUUGCAUGUAUGAUGGGCAUGAAUUGUUGUUUGUAGUCUAAUAGAAAACAUUUCCAGAAGCCUUAUCAACCACAGUCGUUUGUUAUUCUGAUGUCUCAGCCUUUAGCCUUUUGCCCUCCACUUUCUCUUGUCUUGAAAAGUUCGAGAGCUGAUCCGGGUUUUUAUCGUUCUCUUGAUUGAUUGUUCUUCCGUGGUCACCACCAUUAAUCCCUGAUGAAACCAAUCCUAGCUCCUUUUUUAAGAGCCUUUGCCACAAACUAUUUGUCCGUUUCUGCGAUCUUUUGUAGAGGACUGUAGUGGUGGGUGCUGUUUCCCACUUCAUAAACCUACAAAAGAGAUAUGGAGAGGCCCCUGAAGCCCUUUCAUCCCAUGGAAUCAAACCUUUUUCUGGUAGCUAAGAGACACUUUCCAUCCUUUGUGUGGAAGGGGAACAUGAAUCUCCCUGUGAAUGCCUGCAAAGUUAGUGGGCUUCUGAAGAUGCUCUAUAGGACAUCAACAGGAAAGCAACUUUUAAACAAUUUUUUUGGCUUCCAAUCAUAUACCACAAGGCCAGAAUCUCAGAUAAGAGCAGAUGAGCUUUUUGACCCUUGUCCUGUUCUAGCAAAUGCCAAUCUCAUGCAUGUUCUUUAGUUGGAGCUCUAAGAAAGCAAAAUAUUGGAGAAUGGAAAGCAGCACAGAUGGUCUCCAGCAAAGAACUAGAACACCACAGCAAUCCACAUAAGGUUUUACCCCAACAACAGGAAAAAGGUGCCCAUAGGUUCCUUUUGAAGAUUUCCAUUGUCUGGAUCUCCAGUACAAUUUUAUUUGUAAAGAGAAUAUUUUUCAAAAUUUAUUCAAAAAAAAACCCCAUACUUGCUGUUGGAAUGAUUAAUAAGAGAUAUGCUUGUUAUUCCAAUGAUUAAUAUAGGUCGUAUGAGAUCUUAGGGAUGAUGGUUUCGAAACUUAUGACCUCAAACAACCAAGACCAAUCUUUUCAUGGGGCAUUUGCCAUGACUAAUUGAAGCUUGCUCCUUUUGCUCCAAAGGAUUAUAGGGAAUCAAGUGGAUCUGAAGUGUGGGUAGGUAUCCAAACCAUGGUUGAACUAACUUCUUCCUAUAUUUUGAAGCCACUUUUUUUUAAACUUGUCUAUUUUCUUAGCUUAACACUACUAAGCUAAGAAAAGUCUCUAGAUAGUUAAAAACUAGAAAGUAUUAUCUAUUAACAAUUCAUAGUUCAUACAAGUAAUGGUAGAUAGACCUGAGUGCUGACACUUAACCCCCUUCCUUCCCUUUUCAAACACAUGAAAGUGCUUUUGGUUGAGUUUUCAACUAAGCUCUGCUUUGCAUAUGAUAUUUUUAAUAGAAAGAUGUCUUUGGGAAAGAAUUGAGAGGUACCCAAUUGAUAGCUUUGCAUGCCAGCUGACAAUUCUUUAAAUAACAUAAUCUGCAGUAAUUUAUAGUUUUUGAAACCUCAGGCUUCAUGGUAGCAAUCUUUGUUUUUAAAUCUUGAUUGUUGAUUUAGAGUAGAUAUUUAUCUGUUUUUCAUGAGGAAUGCUUGUAUUAGCUUCAUUAGCUUUAUCUUCUUAACCAAGGUGCCUGGAGGUGCAAGAAAAUAGCAUGUACUCUGCAAAACUGGCAGUUGGGUGUAUGCCUAAGCUCCUAGUUAUCCCUCUAAGAGGUCAUGGUUCAUAUUUGUUGCAUGUAGUCUCAUAGAUGUACUAGAAAAAAAUUUGGGACAAUAACAUGUAGAAAGAUGAAAGAUUCAAGAUAAAGGUAGCUUCUCUCUGUUGUGUGGUAGAUUCUUGUUAGACAUUCAUUAUUGCUCAUUUUAUGUUGUCAAAUUCUUUCAUAUAUUUUUCACUCUUUGCGCCAAAUGGACUAGGAAUUGUCUGUUGGCACCCCUUGUUUUAUGCACUGAGGAAGUAGUAUUCCCAUUAUAUUUUUUUUUAAAAAAAAGGAAAUUCGAAUUCUUUGCCUUUUUUCUUGCCAUUUUUAUAGAUGUGAGUUGCUGUUGGCCUUUCAUUUAGGAUAUUCUCCAAAAAAAAAACAAGAAAAAGGAAAAGGGGAAAAAAAAUAAUCCAAUGUAUUUCUGCAAUAUUUUAGUUUUCCCACCAACCAUGGUUAGAAAACUCGACUUUUCUAAUUAUUUUAGUUUCUAAGACUUUUUCCAAGAAACUAGUCCGAGGCUAUAUUUUAUUGGUGUCCCAUAAUCCCGAUUACAUUCCAAAUAAUUUUCUCAUGUUAAACUUGCUUAAUGUUCAUACUUUUUUUAAGAAAAUUGAAAAAAAAAUCCUAAGAUCUUAUUUGUUUAUCUUUUACACUUGUUUUAUCUCCUCUUUCCCCUUUGUUAGUUGGUAGUUUGCACACCUAUUUAAACUUUUUUAGGUAUGUAUUCAUCUUCAAGGCAGAGAGAAAGAGAACUUUUUAUUUUAAUUGUAUUAUAUGUUAACUCUUUUUUCUUUUUUUAAAAAACCAAACAAUUGUUUCCUAACCAAUAAUUCAUAUAUUCAACAUAGUAAGAUGAGCUUUCAAAUAUGAAACAACUUUUCUAGUUUUUUUUCCUCAUAUUCUAUAAUGUAUUAGAUAAGAGACUCGAACUUGGAAUCUACCUUUACCAAGCAAAAGAAAAUUCAGAUAUUUCAAAAUCUUUAAAUGUUCUUUCUUUUCUUGAGGAGUGAAAAAAAAAAUCCAAUCCUCAAAAUCCUAAAUUCUAGGAAAAUAUAUCUCUGCUCAGUGACUUUGAAUUUCGCAUCACUAGUCAAUGUGCUAUAAUCAAUUUUUAUAUUAGCAGACAUCUCAACUAACUGCAUCAAUAUAUCUACUUUUUUUACUUGUACAAUUAUGACAUUAAUCUAAUAAUCAUUUGUCUUGAUUCCUGUGACAUAAUUUGUUGUUAAAUUCUCCUUGAUUAAUGUUAUUAUAAGCUAAUAGAUGGCCUAGUGCAGGAGUUCGAUUUUAUUUUGACAGAAGCACCCCUCUUACUUUUUCCAUCAAGAUUAUCUCGAGAAAGAUAAAGACAAGCUCCACAGCUGCUAUCAUAAAGGAGAAGUAUAUUUAUCAAUUUUCUAAAGGAAAGAUCAUUUGAUAAUGAUGGACGCCAGCCAAAAUGGUGGUCCGCAUGUGUCAUUUAUGGGCCCAUCCCGUGACGCAAGGAAAACAAAAAGGAGAUCUACCAACAUUAGCCGAAGUCCGAAGGCUAGCAUUGGCCGAAUGCCAACGCAAUUCCCUCCUUGAAAUAGGAGUUUCCUUUGAGCCACCACAACGUCAUCUUAUCAAUAGCACAUAUUAAUUGAAGUAGUUUAAGAUAUCAUAUAUGCCCAAGUCAUGGAUUAGUAUUACUAGACACAGCUUUACUCUCUUUCUUUUUUUCUUGGGGGGGGUCUGUGUCCCACCGCCAUGUCUCCAAACAAAUGACUUGUUUACCUUUGCUCAUAGUUUAGGGAUUGUGGGUUUGCAAAUAUAGGUUGGCUCCUCAUUUGUUUAUUUGUAAGUACUGGCGUUGUGAACGAGGUUUAGAGGAAGGGAGAAAAGAUUCCAACCUAUCUUCAUGCUUAUAAAAGCAACCUUAGAUUAGUAGGACCUUUUUUUUAAAGAUUCCAACCUAUUGCUCGGAGAUUUAUAAAGUGGGAUUCCGUUGAGCAUGAGUUAGCACAACCGUUCCUAGAAGAAGAACAAGGCUUAAUUUGGGAUGGAGUGCGUUGAAUUGUGCAUAUGGGUGCAUGAUUUGCCUUCCACGGUUCCCUAUAAAAGAUUAUACAAAAUAAUACAUGAUGUAUUAGAUUCCUAGCUAAUUUUUUUACACGGUAUUUUAGAAACUAAGAUUUCCAUAGUUGAUCGAGUGGAGCAUGAGAAUAUUGUAACAUGCUAAUAGUUAGCUCAUUGGUCGAAAAUCUAUUUAUUUCUCAUUUAUUUGUCGUCGGUCAACACUUAUUGUAAAAUAUUUAAUAUCUUCGGAUAAAUUAGGUAAACCACUUGAUUUAGGUAAUUCCUUAUGAUGACUAUUAUAACUACACUCUAUGCCUCUAGUGUGACCAUUUUGUUAUAGUUUUAUUAUGUGCUAUUCCAAUGCAUUAUUUUAUUGGUUAAAAUCCCAAAAUAUAUGUGGUAAUGUGUAUAUGUUUGUGUUUCUGUUUAUAUAUCUAUGUGUGCAUCUGAAGUUCGGUCCAAUGGUAAUUAAGCUUAGAGGUGGAAAAAAGAAAAAAUUUGACCAUUAAUGUAAACGACGGUUUUAGAUAUUAUCGAUGCUGAUGUUCUACUAUGAUGGUGCUCCAAUGAUAUAUUUUGGACUAUUAUGGACUGGUUGGACAUGUAGGAAAGUUCAGAUUAGUUUUGGAGUAAAACCAGACUUACUUAACACUUAGCAUGGAGUCUAUUUUAAACAUUCCAAGUGUUAUCAUCUAACUUUUUAAUAGAACAACAUUGUAUAUAUUAGUUUCAUCGUAAUUUGAGCCUAUUUUGUAUUAAUGAUGCCCAACAAAACUCAAAUUAAAAAAAUAUUUUACCUGGAAAAUAUGUGGUUGGAAGGUAAUUCUACAACCAUAGAAUGAUUAGCUUAGGUCUUUCAAGGCUACCCAUACUCAUCUAGAAGAAAACAAUGCCGCUAGGUGGCGUGGUAACUAGGAGUUUAAAAUUCAUGCUAGAGAUAAGUGGAUUGGAGACUCCCCUAUAAAGGCAUACUUAGAGCUCAAGUCGAUACAAAUGGAACGCUGUACGAAUGAUUGUAAAAAAGAAUAUUUAGCAAGUUUGACAUAGAUAUAAUUAUUAGUUGAGAAAAAUUUAGAAAUUCUCUAAGAGGAAAGAAAAUGAUAUCAUUAGCUAAAUUUGGGCCAAAUUAAGUUUUUGAUUAUAUAUUGUCAUUCAUCUUAUUAUCUUUUUUAACAUCUGUGUUCUCUUUUGACUAAAAAGGGAAAUUUGCCUUUAAGAUAGAAUGGUCAGACCUUACUAAUUAAAAGAAUAAAGGGAAACUAUGGUCUCUAGAAGGCAAGGAAGAAUUUUGCUUCAGGUUUCACCCCAAAAGUUUAUUGACUUUCUAUUAAUUGUUGAAAGUGAUAAAAAUUGAAGAAAAACUUUCACUAAAUCAAGAAGUUAGAAUAGUAGGUUGGAAAAGAUUUUGCACGAUUUUAGCAUUAAAAUUCCAGCACUCAAAAAGAUGAACAGUGACCACCUUUAAUAAAGUUAGACUCCUUUAUCUUUUUGUUUUUUCUCCUUAAACAAAGCUGAUUGUUGCUUGAGAACAUGUAAGGCUGCAAAAGAAUGCUAAUUUUUCCUAUUGUGCUUGGUAGUGGCUAAUUAAUAUUGUCGUUACCAAAUGAAUCUUAUGCCAUUUAACAAAAAUGGCUUAACAUGUCAUUAUAAAAUGCUAAAGGGACAACCAAAAAAUAAUAAAAUACAGAAAGGGAUACAUGGAUAAUGUAUAACUUUCCCAUUGGACCUUUUAUAACACAGUUUAUAUUUGUUAAGAAUGUGAUUGGAUAGGGAACAAGUGAGGAGAUAACCUUAUAUUUUCUCUCUCAUUCUACCAAACAACCUUUUGAGCUGAUCAAAUAGGACCACUCCAUGCUUAUGACACUGGAGGGAAUAUCCCUUUCACUUCCAUCAUAAGCCUAUUCUAUAAAAAGGGAUGGAAUGGGCUUCUCUCCCACAAAUACCAUAUAGCCAAUUACCACAAAACUCAUCCACUUUUCUAAAAAAAACAGUGAAAGGGUGAUUUUGCUGCUGUAAAAAAUUUAGAUCAUAUAGAAUCUAAUGCAUGCUAAUGCACUAUAUUCCAUCCUAAUAUCCCUUCCCACUUAUUUCUCCAGCCAAACACCAAGAUAUUCUUAUCCUGCGGAAUAAAUCCGUGUCUUCUAUAUCACCCAGACCAACUUUUCCAGUUUUUUAGAAUAUGUCCUGUAAUCAAAUGCAGUCAAAGAUAUGUAUAAAAAAGUUAUACAACAACCAUGUAACUUUUUUAUACAAGAUUUGUAUGCUAUCUUAAUGUACUACUCUAAAUCCUUGAAUGCGUUUCUCAAACAAAAUAUUUGAACCCAUGCCAUAAAAAAAAAGACAAGAAUGUCACGUUCACAUGCCCUGUGGCAAAUUACCAUCCACAGGACAAGCCAAACUAGCCGUUGAUUUUUGUGGGGGUAAAAGAUUGCAUGAUCAAAAGAAUACCAACGUGAUUCACGAAUGACACUUCCUCCAACCAGAUUACAUAACUACCCCUGACCUUCCUUAUUUUUACGAUGCCACCAUGGUCCCAAACAACUAGUCCCCUUGUCGGUGAGAGGGAUUGUCCCUGGGUGACAAAUGGGUGUACAAUCUUCUGCUUUUAGUUGUAUUACUCUCGGGUACAAAAUUAGUUAGUUUAAAGUGGCUAUCGUGGACCAUCAUUGGCCGUACGCUCCGUGCGACCUUGGAGAGGAGUAGCGUCAUCCGUCGCCACCCAUCUCGAAUUGGCGCGAAUCUCCAGACAGAUCCCGAAUACGGUUCUUUUGAUCGUUCGAAAAUUUUGUACGGUGAGAUAUCGUCUAUACAGAGUGUCAGGGUGUGCGAGCCAAACACCCAGCUUGGGUCGAACCUCCUCCGAAAAGAAAUAUGCGUCGGUUCUAAAUUCUAAUAUAAAGUUUUCUUUUUUUUAAAAAAAAAAUGGGAGACUUAGAGCUCACAUAGAAGUCGGUCAAGGCCCUGCCACGUUUACCUGAGGCCUAGUGUGGUGGCGGUGACACAUGGUGCGUUUUGUGAUUAAUUCGCUGCCAGAUGGAUUAUGCACAACGGACUACAGUGUGGUGGAUGCUCACCGAAGAAAAUGCGAGCCUAUAAGCGGGAUGGAGGCACCUCCCGGGAUCUCACCUCCCGAAGCUAGCAUUAGCAAAUUCUAAAGAGAGCAGCAGCAAUGUCAUGCACCAAGGAUAAGAAAAAAAAAUUAUAACAUUAAAAUUAUUAGAUUGGUGCCGUAUCAUAAUUGUAGAUUAAAAUAAAAUAUUGGCUAGAAUCAUGAUCCAUCAAAUCCAUAUUCUAUUUUGGAUCCUUCACUGUUUAUAUCUUGUACGUGCAUCCAAAAUAAGUAUUAAAAAUCUAGGCUCAUGAAAGGUAGGGAUGUCUUUCAUCAUAUUUAUUUAAAAUAAAUGUAAAAUUGAAUCAAAACUUUUGCAUGAUCCUUUGAUUAAAAUAGAUAAUCGAACGAGUUUCAAAUUGAUAAAACCAGCUUUAUUAUUUAAGUUUGCAAUUCUUUUAUGCAUGAACAUUAUAAAAAAAAUAAGCAGAAACAUAUCCCAAAGAUUUACUAUUUUUCACGGCUGCCCAAUCAUACAUCAUAGGUGCCCACUAUAAAUAAAUAGGCGAGCUUUAAUUUAAAACUCAAAAUAAAAUAAAAUAAGCCAAGUUGCCAAUGAUUAUUAAUAAUAGAUUAUCAGUUAAACUAAAUAUUAAAAAAAUUUGUUCAAGAAAUUGUCCAAAUUUCUACUAAUUACAAUACUUCAGUCUCACGGAGAGAUGCUUAUUAACCUAGUUAUAGCCAUACUUUUCUUCUAGUUCACCUUCCAAUAACUAUAAUAUAAAUAUAUAAAUUAAUAUAAUAGUUAUAACUUGUUAUAGCCAUUGAUGAAAUAUUUAAUUAUUAUAGUAUCCUAGAUUUGAUCCUGGACUUAUACAUAUCUUGAAUAGCUACAAAUCAUACAUACACGUCUAGUGUCCAUUGAGGCAGUAGGAAGCGGUGAAAGACCGCCUAAGGUUAAGAGCGGUGAGUACACUCCCACUAACCAUUAAAGAAUGGAAAAGACCACUCCCCAUCCGGCCCCAUCAUUUUUUUUCUUUUUCCAGUUCGAGGACCCUCUAUAGACUCCGGAGCCUUUCCUUCCGGAUUCGUGCACAUCGACGCUCAUCUCGCGCUUUCUCACGCCUUCUCAGAUUUCCUCUCCUUCUCCCCCCACCCCACCUUCCACCUCUCUCUUAUACGGCUCUGAAUAAAUGCUCCGGAUUUUCAAGGUACGCCAACGAAGAUUUAUGUGCCGCCUUUCCUUUUCUUCUGGGAUUUGUUGUUGAUGGAGAUUCCAAUGUUUCCGACCCUGCUUUUGAUCGUUUCUCGAAAUAGAUUUUUUUUAUUUUGCAGGAUUGUCAACUAUUUCGCAUCAAAAGCCGAAUCGUUAUUGGUUUUUUCUUUUAUUCUGGGUUUGUUAUUGGUUGUCUUUUAGAUACUCCCUUUCAGUUUUUCUCCGAAUGGAUUGUAGUUUUUCUCGAAUAUUAUGAAGAAUUCUGUAUCAAAAUCCGAUCUUUACUGUUCCAUCUUCUUCUUUUUUCUGUUCUCUUUUCUUCAUGUUUAUAAUGUUUUAGACACCUCCUUUUUGUUUUUCUUCCGGAUGGAUUGUCGUUUUUCUUGAAUAUUAUGAAGAAUUUUGUAUCGAAAUUCGAUCUUGGUUUCUCUCUCCUCUGUUUUCAGUUGUUGGUGUGGUAGUAUUCUUUUUUUUUUUUUUUGUUCUCUGGGUUUUUGUUUAUGUUCUUGUUUCAGGAAUUCUUCUGCAAGAUUUCUGUGUACGGUGAGCAUUUGGACAACCAAUUCUGUCCUCUUGAUCCUGCUCCACACCAGAACGAAAAGGUCCUUUUCCUGUCUAUUUUUCCCCCGUAAAAUUAGACAAUUUUUAUCCUUUUGCUCCUCCUCCGUGAAAUUUUUGCUCUGCCAUCUCUUUUUCAGUACAUUGGCUGUUUUCUUUUUCUUUUAAAAUCUCUCUUUAUUUUGUGUGGUAGUUCUCACUUCUCAGUUGAAUGUGAGGCCUCUGAAAUGGUUUCUUUUUGUAAGGAAAAAAAAAAGCAGCAGCUCUGGAAAGCUAUGCUGCUUAUGGAAUUGGAUCAGCUUUUCUAUACUAUAAUAUGGAAAACCCUGUUUGCCAUCUGAUCCCUUUGUGAAAAGUAGCCUCCAAGGCCAUGAUUUCUCUUCAGUCCUUGUCUCUCAUGCCUCCUAAGGCCUGAUUCCACUGCUCUAGAUUCCUCUCUCUCCCCUACCCCCCCCCCUUCUGUUUUCCUAUGCUCCAAAUUUUUUUUGUUUUUUUUUCAAGCUUGCUUCUGAGGAGUUUAGGCUACUGGUACUCAUUUAUCUUUCCCAUUUCCAUCAAAUUUGGUCUCUCCUUAGUGGCUUCCUCACUUGCUUUUCUUGCUUCCUCCUUAGUGAUUCCUCUCUUUUUCUCCCCCUAUCCUGAUCUGAUUUCUAUCUGCAGGACUGGUUUUGAACCCACCUUAGAAGAGGAAAAGAAGUGGGGAUGAUGGAGGGGGACACCUUCUCAGGCCUUGACAAUGGAACCCAAGCGGACAACAAGGUCCUCCAGGGCUUCAAGAAGAGCUUUGUCCAGGUCCAAAGCAUCCUGGAUCAGAACAGGCUGCUGAUCAAUGAGAUCAACCAGAACCAUGAGUCGAAGAUCCCCGACAACCUCAGCCGGAAUGUCGGCCUCAUCCGUGAGCUCAACAACAACAUCCGGCGAGUCGUCGACCUUUACGCCGAUCUCUCCUUCUCCUUUACCAAAUCCAUGGAAGCGUCAUCGGAGGGGGAGUCAGACGGGAAGCCCGGCCACAAGAGAACUAGGCCUGGCUAGAGAAGCAUGACAAAAAGGCAACGCUUUUGCCCACGGCAGCAUGGAACUUGAUAGACUCGCGGAGACACAGAGAGAAGCCGUACUCUGCUCUUCUUCAUAAUAACAGGUGAUUACUUGCCAUGUUGUAAUCCAGCGCAACUCUCAUUGUCUUCUAUCUCAUUCAUAUGAAGCUCUCUGCCUACCUUAUAGACUAUGUUGUUUAAGUGUACCUCUGUUUCUGGUUCUUAUGAGCAUAGCUUUGGUCAUGGAAUCAAGGUCUCUUUAGCUUAAAACUAGGAAAACCUUUUCAUCAUUUGUGUGAGAUGGGUUGUCUGUAAUAAUGAUUUAAGACAGCAGCAACAAAGCAACUAUGGAUAAUUUUUUUUGUCUUCUAAUCAUAUGCCACAAUGAGAAAAAUGUUUUAUAAUCUCAAAUGGGGGGAUGGGGCUUUGUAUGAUCUUUUUGGAUCGGAGGUAUAAAUUUGGAGAAUAUGAGAUAGGAUUUAUGAAUGUGUGUUUAAUUCUACAUCAGUUGCUGAAUUUUUUUUAAUAUUUAUACAAAACUAAAAAAUUUAAAAGUAUUUUUUGAUUAGAUUUUUUUGAUGAGAUACUGAGUCGUAGGACCGAUAUCUAUAAACAUUGAUGCCCAAGAUCAUUUGGUUUUGGGGGAGCUCAAUAAUUGGGCAUGUGGGGGCUCUGCUCCUUCCUCGUAUAAUGGAUUGUAGGAGCUUGAAAGGGAAUUUGGCAUGCAAGCUGAAACUACUGGAAUAAUAUUUUAUGGAGGAAAAAAACAUUAGAAUAACGCCUCGUGGAAGAAGACAGAUAUUCAUAUUUAGAGAUGGAAUAUGACAAAUAUUGUCUAUGGUUUCAAAGAAUCUACUGGAAAGAUACAACUUGAUACAUUUUCUAAAACACGACUUUUGGGCAACACGUACGUCAUUAAAUAGAGAACAAGAUAUCCAGGUUUGGACGUCUAACCUUCUUGAGUUCUUGUCCUUGUAACGUGUUUCUCGGUUUCUUAUAAAAAAAUAAAAACCUCUUUCAUGCGAAUAGGUGCAGGCAAAUUGUACUUACAGGAGAAACCUCUUUCAAAGAGACAAAAUGAAGAAAUUUUUAUGCUGGUUAAAAUUGUUUACAGGAAUAAUUAUUCCAAGAAAAAGCUCUCAUAAGCUAUUCUUUAGUAAAAUUAUACUAAUUUUUUAUUUUAAGAUAAAAAUCAGCAUUUAGAAUGUUAAAAUAAAGGAACGAGAUGAAAUCUCUGUAUCUUAUAUUCACCAUUAAUACAAUAUGUGCAUCAAUAUAUAGCCUGAUGAUAUAGCUAGUAAAAAAAAUGUAUUAAAAUUAAUAAAAAAUAUUAAUUAUAUUUAAACCAGAAUAAUAGCAAGAUGGUAAAUAUGUUUAACGGAGAAGAUAUUUUAAGAGAUUCUUUUAGCUAUUUAAUAGCAGAGCCAAAUAAUAUUUAGCAUAACUUUAUUUUUUUAUAUUCUCGAACCAAAUGUAGCUACAAACUUUUGUGGAACCUUCCACCAGCUCCAUGUUCCUCAUUUUUCUUUUCUGCUCAACAAGUCCAUUUCUUAGAUAACAUAUGGAUUGAGUAGUCAGUGGUCCAAAUAGGUCCAUUUCAUCAUUAUGAGAAUCAUCAGAAUGCUGUGCCAUGUAAAAAACUAUCCGAUCUGCAACGUUGUUCAUCUCACGAUAUAUACGAGUAGCUUAGAAUUUAGUGCAGCUCAAAGCUAUCUUCCAAAUAUCUAGUAGUAAAAAGGGGUCCAUUUACCUAUUAAGCAUGUCUUAAAAUCUAACCUUUCACAAUCAUUGAAUCACCCUCGAGAUAAAUAUGAUUAAUUCUUAAGACAGAUCUUGCAUAACUCAUACCUUUUCAUGUCGCGCUCAACUUUAUUUCACGAAUGAAUAUCAUAAAUUUGUCCAUAUAAAUUUAGAGUUAGAGUCUCUAGCACCUUCUUUGUCAUCUUCAUCGACUAUAUUACCCUCGAAGUUUAUCUUGAUAAAGCUUUGGGUCGGGCUCCCAGCGAAAGAAUCAUCUAAGGUGUUGGCUGUUUCAUAUAUAAUAGCGAUAAUACAUGGUCAAAGUGUUUCGAAGGCUCAGGCUGCCACGUGUUCUAUUCCACAAAGUUUCAUUGACUGAACAGCCGCGAUAUAAUCUUUCUCGAACUUUGCUGCCGUAUAUUUUUAUUAUAUUUUAUUAAUAAUAAUUUCAAAUCACAAUCAUUAUUCACUAAGGGGUUUCAAUGGGGCUUUAGCGCUUACACGGAGGCGGAGAGGAAAGGAACGGAAAAUCGGACGUAAAGGAGGAAAAAGAGAAAAAAAUGUUGAGGAAGAAAUACCUCACACAGAUGAGAUAGAUAAUUUGAUAAAAAAAUAAUAAAUAAAGAGAUAUGAUUAGAAAAAUAAUACAUAUCAGUCUUUUUUCAUAAACAAUCUCUUUUAGUAUGUGUAAUUUCUUUUAUAAUUAUAAAACUGAAACACUAUGUUAAUAAAAGAAGUUUCGCUCUUAUUUAAUUUUUGGAUUUUUUCCGCCUCUUAAUUUUUGCCUAUUCUAUCUUAAGCAGCAACCUGUUGAUUCUCAAAGUGAAUGCUUUGGAUUUUCUGAAUGCUCUUCUUUGCAUGAUUCAAAGUCUUGAAGGGACUUCUCCACUGAUCUAUACAAGUGUUGGACUUGUUCUUGAAUCACCAAAUAUUGUUUAGCAAGAUAUUCUGGCUGUAAAGUAACCUCAGAUACAGAUAUGAGCAAAUCUUUUCCUAACAGUGUUAACAAUAUAAGAUUGGACAAUGUUUGCCUUGAUCAAAAUUGUGCCAGUUCUUUGCCAGGUUUCACACAGGUGCCACCAUGCGAACUUGACUAUAGACUUGGACCAACUUGACAUAUAUGGUUUACCAAAUUGUGAAUUAGGUUUUCAAGCAAAAAAAAAAAAAGGAGCCAAUUGGAGCCUGGGGCAGCUACACUUUACCUCGAAUCAAGCUCAGCCACAUGCCUUCAAGUUUGGCUUAUGAACAACGUGUAUCUUUAUAAGUAAGCUAUGAUUCCUCAAGCUUAUCUGCAAGUUAUAAUUUAUCUCAGGUUGUAAUCCAUUGGACCUUUAGCUAUGGAAUUUAUCUUUUUAAUUAUAUCAUAGAUACGAAGUGAUUAAGUUUUAUGACAUGAUAAAAUAAACUUUCUAGUUCACCAUAAAGAUAGAUUAAAAAAAUAUCCACCGCUAUAGAAUAACUGAGCCCUCUCAUAAUGAUGACGAUGGAAGCAAGCUAUAAGUGUUUAUCUUCAAGUGCCUUGCAACCUAUCUUUCUAUCAAAAGAGAAACAGCUUGCCAACUAAUAAAAAAUAUCUUAAAAUAAAUAAAAUAAGGUUAGGCAUUUGGAUAAGAAAACCAGGGAAUCAAUCCUAGGUCCUUAGGUGUGUAUUAAGAACUAAGAAAAGUGGCGGGAAGAUCAUUAAGGCAUUCCUCAUUAUUUUAAUCCUUGAUGCUUUGUUUUAAGGAAACAAUCGAACCCAAGCUUGGUUGAAUUAAAUAUCUAAGCAAGUCAAGCUUGGCUUACCCAUAAGUCUUCCCCCUCAUAGGAGAAUCUGAUGCUCCACAGCUUGCACUUCUUUUUUUUUUUAUUAUAUAUGUGUGACAGUAAGAUUGUCUCAUUGUAACUUUGAAUUGCUUGAAAUAUAGAAACAGCAUCUUGUAUACGGGUGUAAGGCUGCAUACAUCUAAUCUUUUUCACAACUUCUAGUGAUGGGAGGCGUGUGUACGGGGAUGUCCUUUUUUUCUUACCUCUUUAUGAGGGCAAAGUUUUGAUCUACUUUCCGAUUAUCUUAUUUUCAUCACCCCUGCUCCAAAAGGAACACUCAAUUUUAUGUAGUUUCCAACAAACUAUUUCAACUUUUUACGCUACUAUGAUACUUAUCUGAACUACCUAAUAUAAAGGCUUUGAUUAAUAUUAAUCACAUGCAAUCAAUUCCAAGGGAUUUGAAGUUGUACCUCACCUAAAAAUCAAGCUGAUUAACAACUAUGAUCAGUAUGAUUUUUUUUUUCUCUCUACUCAAAUAAAAAUGAAAGUGUUCAUGAAUUCGAUUGUUGGACAUAGAAUAAGACUCAACCUUGUUGACACUUAAAAUUUAAACAUAUCAAAAGGGUUUUCCACAAAUUGAUUAGUUCACAGCCUUCAUCAUUUGUUGUGGAUCCCACUAAAAAUCAAGUAGGUGAACAAAAAGGAUAAGAAGAAAAUGCCUAACAUACUCCUUUCUUGUGUCAAGAGAAGUGGGUCUAAAUGGAUGCACACAAAAAGCACUUAUCCAUCACAGAUGGACCACUUGGUGUCAUCCAUGGCCCCAGCCCAUAAAAGCAGCAGACAAGAUGGAAAAAAUCUAUCAAUCAUCAUAUGUGGGCUUAUAUUAUCACUGUACCAUCUUAUCAAAAGCCUGCUAUUAAAGCUGUCUAAUAUGAGUUCAAGCCUUGUAAUAGCAUCAUUAGGCUUUUAUCACUUCAGGCAACUUGUGUGUGUCCCUCCACCAAACUUCCCAAACAAUUAAUAGGGUUGUCUACUUCAGAAGUUUUCUCCUCUUCAGCACCAGAUAUAUCUUUUGUUUACAUCAGCUCUCAUUGUGACAGACUUUGAUGUUAUAUUGAAUUGGAGUGGGACCCCUUUAACCUGCCAGAUUUAGAUUUUUUUGGCAGGCAAUCUCAUGGCCUCUCUCACUUUGGUUGCAACAAUGCUGGGUCUUGGCCAGACUCAGACAAUUUGGUCAAUAUCUGGCCCGUACUUGAAAACCUACCUGACAGAUCGACAAUCUGACUUGACCAAGAUGCAGUCUAACCUGGAAAUUUGUGCUUGCAUCCAACCCUGAAUUCUUAAUUGAUCCAUUAUGCAUUCAUUUUAGUUUAGGUAAAUACCAGGUGAAAUUAGUCGGAUUUGGGAAGACAUAAGACUUUAUUACUUUCUUAAAACGCAUUAGACAAGUGUUCAAAAUAACAUUGAUGUACUCCUAUAUGUAUUGCCUAGGCCAACCACAGCCCAUGCCUAACUAAAACCAAUAGAGACCUAUAAUUUGAAUUCAUGGCAACAGUUUUCAUUUUAUUGAUUUAAUUAUAUUUUUAUUUAAUCCAAUUACUAUUAUAUAUCAGAAAAAUUGAAAAAAAAUCAUAAUGUCUCCUAGAGAUUUAUUUUUAUUUUUAUUUUGAUGGCAAAAGAUUUAUUUCCUAGCUAAGAUGGUUCAUACUUUUCGGAGGUAUAGAAAUAAGCGAAGCCAUAGUCAUUGGUCAAGGCUCCCUCAAAUAGGAACAACCAUACGAGUCAGGUCAAACUAGGUUAGGUCAGCUGGCUCUGUUGCUACAAGGUUUUGCCCUAGAACGUUCAUACCUUCGUACGAUGUCUCACCAACUGAUGUAGAGAUUGGCUGCCUUCUCGAGAGAGCAGGUUGUCUCCAAUUCACGCAAGGAGUCUAUGGUUUUCCAUAUGUAAUACACCUAAUAAUGGCCACUUAAAAUAUGACAAUUGAUAAUCAAAUAAAAAUUCCAUCUUUUAAAAAUAAAAAUAUUAAUUUAAGCAUGUAUUUUCAUUCAAAAAGCUUUUUGUGAUUUGGUAGGAGAUAAUAACCAUUAUUAAGAUACAAGCAUCAAGACCAUGAUUUGAAAUAAUAUGCAUCAGUAUUUUGGAGAAUAGUGUAAAUAAAAAUUCAGUGAAAAAUAAUUAAUGCUUAAAUAUAAUUAAUUUAAACUAGAUGGUUGGAGAUAAGGGCCAGUAAAAGGGAUUAAUUUGAGAAGUUAUUCAGGGAAUUAGAAAAAGGAAUAUUAUAUGAUUUGAGUUUUUGAGUUAGGCUAUUUUGGGUUUGGCUUGUUUUUUUUUCUUUACCAUAAUUAGACUUAGUGGUACAUUAUUUGGUUUGGGUUAGAAAUUACAAAAUUCAAACCGGACUCAACUUUUAAAUCAGAAGUAGUUUUGGACUUGAUUUGAUUCAUGGGUCUUUGCAAAAGGAUCGGUCAAGUGUACUUAGAUUGAGACCAAGUUGGGUCAUGGGCCGAAUUGAACCCUUUGCAGUCCUAGGUUGGGUAGAAUAUGUUGUUUGAUUUUCUUUUCCUAAAAAAUAAAUAAAGAAAAAACUUAUAAAAUAGCUCGUUAGGAAAGGUAAGGUCAACAUGGACGAUAAUGGGGUUAGGGCACGAAAAUAACUUUCACUAGUCAAAGCCUCAAAGGAUUAGAUUAAGAUAUCUUUGGAAAUAGAAAUUGAUCAUGGGCUUGACAGCCGAAAUUUAAUGGGCUUGGAUACUAAAAAUAGGCUUAUGGGACAUACAUUGGUGCAACAAAAAAAAGGUCCAAUCUAAAAACUGAGCCAGGCGUAAUCUGAAUAUUAGCAUGAUUCAACCCAAGAUAAUUAUAUGUAUUUAAUAUAUAUUACAUAUUAAUUUAUAUUUACAAUUAUAUGUUAUAUGUUAAUAAAUAAAUCAAUAUCAGGUUUGUUUGGUAGAGGUAUUACCCUUUCAGGAUCGAGCAAGGCCUAGACAAAAGUAAAGGUCCAAUAUCUAGGCCAGACCGAGCUUAGGUAUAAAUAUUGGGCCUAAUUUUGCUAUAAAGCCUAUCCAACCUGGCCCAACCCGACCAAUCCAAUAUUUAGUUAGCACGAUUCGAAAUUAGUUAUCAUAAAUUUUAGGGACCUUGUAUUAAUAUUCCCGAUACAGUUACGAGGUAAUUCAAAUAUAAUCCAAAAACUAGGGGCCUAUGACAAAUUAUGUCCUGGAGCUGGGAAAAAUUACAAAUAGCCUGCAUAUAUAACAUAUUUACAUCCCGAUCACUAGCAAUUUGUCCACUAUAAAUAUUGAGGGCCAACCAGUUCUUUUAUCGCAAAGAGAAUCGUUUCCUUGGUUUUCCACCGACCUUUCCCCGCUCCUUUUAGUUCCUCCUCUCGCUUUCGAUCUCCUUCGGACGCCAUCUCAGGUUCAACCGGUUCUUUUAUCUCAAAGGGAUCCCGUUUCCUAGGUUUUCCACCAGCCUUUCCUCGCCCUUCUUUUUAGUUCUUCCUUUCGCAGCUAGUUCUUCCUUUCGCAAAGGGAAUCCCGUUUCCUAGGUUUCCCACCGACCUUUCCUCGCUCCCUUCUUUUUAGUUCUUCCCUUCGCUUUCGAUCUCCUUCGAACGCCCUCUCGAUUUCGAUCUCCCGUCUCCGCCAUGGCCGUGCGCUUCAGGUUUCGGAGCUCCGCCGCCUUCGAGUCGGUGGACCUCGGUGGCCGCCCCUCCAUCUCCGUCAGCGACCUCCGUUCCAGGAUCCUCCACCUCGCCAACCUCCCGAUCUGCCGCGACUUCGACCUCCUCAUCUCCGACGCCCUCUCGGGCCACCGUACCCCCAUCCCCCUCUCUUUCUUUAUUCUUUUGUCGUAUUUUCUGCCUUUCUGGUGAUUUUUGGUGUUAUUUCUGGUAAUCGCAGCGUUCGAGGACGAAGAGUUCCAAAUCCCGGCGGGUUCAAGCGUUAUCGUCAAGAGAGUACCAGCCGGCCGAUUCGCGCCUUCGGAUCCGUGAGUUCUCUGUCCGUUUCUUUAAGCUUCGUUACUUCUUUUGUUUUCUUGAAUUGAAUUCGGUAGUCAGUCGUGGAUUUUUCCUUUUCUCGAUAGGGUAGGGGGGAACUCUGCAAUCAAGAACCGCGGGUUCGCAAAUGCCCUUGUUUCUUCACCUUCGGAGGUGAGAUUUGAGCUUUUGUUGUAAUGGGUUUUAAUGGAUGGGUUUAACUGGGAGUUGUAUUAACUUCUAAGCGUUGUGGUCUGCAUAUUGGUGUGAAUGCAUGUAUUUGAUUACUUUGAUUUGACGCCAUAAAUAUGAUGCUCUGAAAGUUAUUUUAUAUGACGAAUGAAUAUGAGUUGUAUUUCUGUGUAAUGCGGUCAAGGUGUAAAAAUGGUGGGCUUAACAAGGAAUUUAUGUAAGAAAAUGAUUGAGAAAAAAGAAAAGAGGGGGAAAAUAAGUGCUUUGAUAACAUUUCUUAUCAAGAAUUGGUAUUUAUCCUGAGAAUGGAAAUUCAAUGUGUGAUACAGGAAAAGUGACUGAUGAAAAAAGUUCCUGGUGACUAGUAUAUGCUAGGAAGACAUCUAUUUCCGUGCCUACGUGGAAUAUUUCGAAUCUAUAAUUGUCUGUAACUGCCAUGAUGAUGUUUCUAUUUUGGGUAAUGUAGCACGCGACAAAAGUUUGAACCAAUGCUGUGUCUAAUAAGUUUAGUAGCUUCAAAACAGAAAAUCCUAGACGAUAACAUAGUUGAUGGACAGUUAUUGGAAAAUAUGGGUGAUGAGAUAACUUCCUAUACACAGAAUGUGCACAACAAAAAUUGUUAUUCACCCUUUUAAGUGCAUCAAUUCAGAUCGAUGUACUUUUAUGCAAUAAACGUCUGGGUCGUGGCUGUGCAUAUUGUAGCGAACCAACAACUAGGAGAGAAUAAUAUCAAUAAUCAAUGUUACGUAGACACGUGACUGAGGCGUCAAGUCCAUGUUUUCAAAAGAGACACAAGAAUCCUAAAAGUUGGAUAUUGGCACAUGUCCAUAUUAUAUAUGUAUUUUUCUAAAAUAUGUAGAAAUGCAUUAAUAAUGAAUAACCUAUUGGAAUUUCUUAAUCUGAGAGAAUUCAUAGAACCUUGCUUGAAAAGACGAUCGGGAAACUUACUAGAUAUAACACAUUGCCAAAAUUGUUAUUUACUCCUUUUGAGUGCCCGAGUUCAAAAGCAACUUAUUUGAAUGCAAUAAACUAGUGGGCUCAUCCCUUUCCAUAUCGUUGUGAAUCAACAACAAAAAGACAUCAAAUCCAAGAAUUUCUUUGCAUAUUUGGGAGGGAAGCAAAAAGAGCUUAAGGCUCAUUUAUAGAAACAUGUGCUUAAGGCACCAGAGAACCUGAGGGUAAAUUAAAGAAUAGCAUAUCUUACACACAACUUACAUGAAGGGAAGUAUUUUUAUUCACGCUUUUUAUAUGUUUUCCUCUUUGGUUCCAAUCAAGGUACGCCGUCUCGAUACGGGACCUCGUACUGGUGCCACACUAUCACUGUGUUAGUAAUGUUGAUUCAGCGUACCGAGUGUUAGUGCGCCUCCCAACUCCCCACCGUGUACCGGCAUCAAACUGGUACGGUAAGGCACGCCCCGUACUAUCUACUUCGGUACGGUACAACAAACCUUGGUUCCAAUAUUAUAAAACAUGCAGAAGGAGCCAUUUGCACUUUGUCAUUUGAUGCGAUGAGGGUUGAAGAUUGGUGAGGGCAGAAGGAGACAUUUGCACUUUGUCACAUGAGGGCAGAAAAGGGCAGUGCAAAACCCUUAUAUAAGAUGGUGAACAGUUAGGAGAAAGGAAAAGGCAGCCUAGUUGGUGCUGUUUUGGGCUGCAGUUGAGCAUUUUUGGACAUCCCAAGUACAGAUCUGACCUUUUGGGUCUGAACCUGGUCCAUGUCACCAUAUUGCAGCUGAAAAUCUGGCCAGGUUGAUCUUGUAAACUGUUUUAGGUGUUAUAUCAUUCUAGUCAGUCGAAGAAUUUUAGGGGGCAUUGUAGGAAGUUAGUUGGGAUUUGGGGAGAUUUGAGGGUGCAACUUCUGGUUGGCUCAAGUAUGGGCUGGUUGCGCAUAUGAGUUGGAGUCAGCUGGCAUAAGGAUUUUUAACAUGAAAAAGAAGAAAGAGGGCCAAGUGGGCCUACCUUUCUUCCCUUUUUUUGUCGAUGUAACUUAAUUCUCUUCUUUUUCAGUUAUCUCCACUUUUUCUCUAGUACUCCUUGCAGACAAUAUCAGUUUAGAUUUGAUUUAGAACCAGGUUUAAACCAUUAAUGGUAAUUUUAUCAGCUAAUUAGCUGAUCUAGAUCUCUAGUUUCAUUUCAAAACUUCCUCCUGGAUCCCUAUAAUAUUUUAAAUCUUCUUCCUCUUCCUUGUUUGUUCAAAAACCUCCGAAAUCCUAUGCUAGAUCAGUUAUCGGUCCAUUAUCCAGAAGAUUUAUUAUAUGGCUUUUGUCCCUUCAAACCCCUUCUAGGUCAAUAGAACCUACACUUUACACCCUUAUAGUAACUCUAACCUCUGUACAAUUUGGGGAACCUCUGCGAUCCAGUUUCUUUCCCUAAAUAUUUUGGAUAUCUUACUUAAAACACUACCAACUAUCCUCUUAAGCUAGUGGGAAAAAGGAUAAUUCUGAAGCUCUUGGACGUUAUUUUGGAUAGCUGGCCUAAAACACUUCCAAUUCACCUCUUUAUGCUAGUGAUCCUUUGAACUUGCAGGUAGCCUUUGCCACCUAGGUUUAGUUAACCUAGACCAGCGAAGUUUCAUGCCAUUAAACACAAUCUACAAUAUUUAAUAUGUUUUAGUGAUUUGCUGCUGCGGCCUCAAAUGGUUACAGAAUGGAUAUUUUUUUUGUCCUUUCUUUUUGAUGCUACAAUACACUUUGAUGCUUGUAAACAUGGAUCAUGAAUUACUAUGGCCUCCUGUGCGUUUAGCGAACUAGAUCUAUUGUUGUGUCCUCUUGGUAUCCCAUUUGAGGCAGAAGAUGUUUCUGCCAGAUUUUUUUUCUAAUUUAAGGCUUAUUUAAUGUUAAAAGUAUGUUCGUCACUCUGAACUUUUAGGUCUGGAUGGUCCAACACGGAUUUUGCACAUAGGUGUUGGCUCAAAUCCUAUAGUUAUGCUUUUAUCUCAAAAUGUGUAAGGGGGUAUUCAAGUUGAUUAUUGGGUUCUAUAUGAGUAUAAUUCAUGUGGGACAAAGUCAAGUGGUAUGGAUACUUUUUCAUUGAAAAACAAGGAAAACAUUUCCCUUUUUUGAAAAUGUUCGGUUACUGAUCACUUGACACAUAGGUAAAAAAUCUCUAAAGCAUUUGAAAUUUAUUUUUACACAUGUUGAAUGCUGUAGAUAAUCAAAUUGAUGCUAAGGAUCAACAGAUUAAAAAGUGGAUGGUAGGCAUGUAGCGGCCAUAGGGUUUCAUAGCGGAAAAUAGAUAGCGGGCAUUGUGAACCCAAAGCAGCCUGUUGAAACAUAUCAAUAUUUUUUUGUACUAAGUAUCAAAAAUUAAUACUUUAUAUCAACUUUAGUAAAAGAAAAAUCAAGGACAAAGCUUUUAAACAUCACCGACCAAACAUUAUAAGUUAUGUACAUAGUAAGUUAUACCUUCAUAUGUUUAAUUCAAUGAUUAAAACAUGCAUAAUUUCUAAAUAGACUAUUCAUAUGGCAUGACCUGAAGAUAUAUCACUAUCAUUUAACGCAUUAGUAAGCUUGGGCCAUGACCUUUGUCUAACAGCCAUCUCCCUUCCAAAUGAUCUAGUAGCUCUUGUAUAUAAGGGAAUCUCCACUGAAUUUCAUCUUAAAUUUUCCCGUUAGGAUAAAAUUUCAAAAUGCACUCAAUCAGCCAUCCAUAAUUUGCGCAUUGUUUUCAAUUUUAUUAUUUUUGGCAUAGAAGAAGUAGGAGUUCAAGAAGUAGCCCUUGUUUUGCGAUGAGCCUUGUGGUUUUGCAUCCCAUCUUGAAGCAAUAAUUGUCCAAAUUAAAGGUACUUAUUCUCAUCUUCUUUCAAAUGUAAGGCUAUUUCCUUCUUCAUCUAGUCACCCAAUAUAUUACUUGUGGCCAUGCCUAAGCACUUGUUCGAAGGGCUCCCACAAUUUCAAAGCAAAUCCAAAAUUUGGAGCUCAAAACUAUGACUUGGAUCUUCCUUCCUUGAUCUUUGUUGUACCAUUCAGAAUUCUCUCAAUUACUAACUCUGCCUUCUUACUUAUCAUACUUUGCAAGCUCAAACAAUAAGUAAGAAACCAAGUCUUUCUUGGUCUCACCAAAUUCUUUUUUGGUGAACUUUCUUAUCACGCUAAGGUUAAGGUAUGCCCAUAUAAACUUGUUUUGGCAUAUACCAUUCACUAUAACCAAAAGUGUAGUGGUCGUUUUAGUAGUUUUACAUGCUAUAUCGGGCAUUAUGGGCCCAAUGCUAUAAAAGGCUGCUGUAGCACAUAUCAUAGUGGUUUAGGUCCAAGCUGCUAUAGCAGCUGCUAUGGUCGAUUUUUUAAAACAAUGCUAAGGAUACCCAUAAAAGUCCAUCUAUUACUUGGCAAGAUAUUCACCUUUUCUAUUUAAAGCUUACUAAAUGUCCUCUAGAAAUGUGAAGGCAACAUUAUGCCGGAUUAGAAAGCUUUUUUGAGUUUCCAAGCUGUUUGCUUUAAAAGGAUUGGCAAGAGUUGAUCAGAACGAGAGCUGAUCAUGGGACGGGCCUUGGGUCUAAACUCUAUUCAUUUUUAAUCGGGCUUCAGACCGGGCCUAUGUAAAAUUUUAUAUUUUGUAUGCCCAAGCCUGGUCCAUGAUCAGCUUUAAUCAUAACAUAUCAUGAAGUUUGAAUGUAUUCCCUUAAAAAGAACUAGAUUGAUAGCAGUUGCCAACAUGGAAGUAAAGUUUUCUUGUGGGCUUCGUAUUGCACCUUAUGGUCCUUAUCAUUAUAAAUUCCAUGUUAGCUUGUUUUAGAAACCUUUUCAUAAUUGUAGAUUGCAUUUGGGCCAAUAAUGCUGCCUUCACGUGUCUCUAUGGAAUUUAGUAAGCUUUAAAUGAUUGCAAGCAAGAUACGCCGUCUCGGUGCUAGGCCUUGUACCGAUGCUAUGCUAUCACUGUGUUGGUACGGUAUGGUAUAGGGUUCGUUCGACAUACUAAGUGUCGGUACACUCCUUAUACGAUACCGAACCGGUACAGUAUGGUACGUUCCAUACCUUCUGUACCGCUCAUUUGGUGCGGUACGGCAUGACAUACCAUGGUUAAAAGUGACUACUUUGAUGCAUGCAGAUGGAUUUUUAUGGACACCCUCAGCAUUUUGAUUCUAAAUAUUCUAUAACAAAAAUGAAUUAGGAUGCUGGGUUUGAUAGCUAUAGUAUCAAACCCAUAUCUAAGAUGAAUGUGCUUCUGCAUCUACCACUGUCUAGUUGCUUCUCUUAGGACUUAUUUUUCUGUUGUCAUUCCGUUUGGGUAAAUAUGUGGGAGGCAUGUAAACUGCAUACGGUUCAAUAGAGCAACGAUGGUUUUGCUUGCAAUCUACUCUAUUUUCCUCUCUAGCUUUGUCAGCUUUCUUCUACAACAAAUACUUCUGUUGCAUAAUUUGUAUUUGGUUGUUAAAAUGAUGUCUUGAAGGAAUACUAAAGAGGGACUUGUAUCAUCUAUUACCAAAAGCUUUUAUGCUAUAUAUAAUUGUAUGAUAUUUGCUUAUCGUUAAUGGGUUUUUAGCUUCAUCCCUAUUUGAUGUCUUGUUUGAGUUCAACUAUUCUUAUGUCCUACUUGGUAACCCUCUUACAUAUGUGAUCAUGAAUAGGAUAAAUCGUGCUUUUUUUCUUGGGAUAUAUCAUGUGCUUUCUCACUUGCAUAUUCCAGGAAAAUUUAUACAUCAUCACAUUUUACAAAUGUCUCUUUGUUUGCAGAAUGUUGAAAUGGAUGGCUUUGAUGACUUUGGUAAUGAUUUGUAUCCUGCUCUUGAAGCACCUUUACCAGAGUCGGAUGCCAAUAUUGCCAACAUAAAUAUAUUUGAUAAACAAGAUGAUAUUUCAAGGUGCAAUAUUUUGAUGAUUUCUUAUUUUUUGAUCUAUGUAUCUCAUAGAAUUUUAUGUUGUGAUUUUUAUCAUUUUUUGCUUACCCAAUUGUGUUUUCCUUAGUUUGGAUUGCAUCUUUAUCUUUUAGUUAUAUAUUUGGUCAUGUUACUUUUUUUCUGUAACUUCUUCAUUUUUGUUCUUAUAACUUCAGUUAUUGACAUGGUGGGCCAGAUGGCUUUGCAAGUGGUUACUGUAGGUUAGUUCUUGGAAGAUUUCUCUAGAGUCUAUUUACUAAGGGUAUGCAUGGACAUGGGUAAAUGUAUGGGUCAUGAGAAGGAUUUGGCUAGAAAGAAAAACUUAUUACUUCAAUUAUCAAGUACAUGUGGAGAAUAAUGUUAAAUGGUCAGGAUUCAUAAGUUACAGGGUUAGUUGUUCAUAGUUCGUUAUAAAUUCGCAAUCUCGGUACUAGACCAUAUACUAGUACUAUGUUGGUACAAUGUUGGUAUUGCUUGAUAUGGUGGUCAGUUCAACGUAUUGACACUUGAUAUACUUGGUACAGGGUGGUAAGCACUGGUAUUGUGAACCUUGAUUUGGACUAUUCUGCAAUUAUUUAUUUAGUAGAAUUAGUUAUAUGGUUUUACUUAUUGCUUAUUCUAGUCUUCUUAGGAAUAUACAAUGGAGUGGUAAUUUGAUAUCUAAAUAAAAACCAAAGUAUGAGCAGGAGUUGAAUAGUACGAGGCAUAAGAAAGUCUUCAAGUAAGAAAUUUUCCAUUUUUUUUGCAUCAUUGCUCUGGCAUAAUCAUGAUGGGAAAUGCUUCUGUGCAUCAAAUUUUCAAUUAAUAAGAAAUAUUCUGAUCAAAUUUGCCAUCGGUUCGAAUGGUGGAUUUUGAUGGCUGUCAACCUUUUUAAAUGUGCUUUUGUAUAGGAAAAAGGGGAAAUAACUUGACUUGAUAUUCUUUGCUUGAAAAGAAUAGCAUGAACAACAAAUUUCAAACCCCAACUCAUGAACGAUGAAGAUAGAGGUUUACAAUCGUGAAAAGCUGGAUGGAGAAAUCUAAUGUAGAGUUGGCGAGUGGUAUAACCUAAUAUAUGAAAUGUAGCUUUCUUGUGGGAAUAAAUAUGCAAUGGGGGCUGAAGUUGAAUUGGUGGCCAGUAGUUACCUCAUUAUAGUGAUUAUUUAGUUUGAUAUUCAUGCCAAAUAAUGGAAGGGUAGAUGGAGGAAUAUAAUAGAAUUGGCUUUGCAGAUUAUGUUGAGGAUUGCCCCAAAAGUUGUUGGUCACUUCUUUGUAUAUGCCUUGGAUUUGCAAAGGAAAACUUUGUAAGAAAAAUGAAAUUCUUAUGUUUCAUGAAUUAUGAUGUUGGGGAUUAUGAAGUGCCCAUCUACAUAAAAUGUGCAUCAUAGAGAUGGAGAUGUUGAGUUAAAUCAUUGAGGUUAAGUUGGCUAUUAGGUGUAUUGCAUGAAAUUAUAAGUGCCGCCUUAGUCAUGGUUUUCAUUUCGAAUGAGGUCUUGGUCAAGAUAUUGGUUUGUAUUGAUAUGGAGCACCCAUCGAUAUGAUAUAACUGAUAUCUUAGCCCUUAUUAUGUUGGCUGACAUAUCUUGAUAUAUUCCAAUAUAUUAGUUGAUACAAUAUAUUACACAGGCCAAUUUUUUCUAAUCAUUGUGUUACAUAUUUGAAUUAAGUUUUUAAGUAUUAAAUAAUCAAAUUAGGCCUUGUUUGUUUUUUCCUUUUUUAAAUAGAAACAUGGAAUCCAAUGCAGAAAAGUCUUGUUUUUGUUUUUGUUUCAAAACAACUUUCAUUAUUUCUGAAAAAAGUGGAAGUGAAAAAUUCUCACUUUCACUUUUUUUAAUAGUGUGUUUUCACCUCUCUCAUCUCGAUUUCUCUUCUUCUGCUCGAUCUUGCCCUCAACCCUGUCGCCUUUGCCUAACCAUGUCGGCUCCCCAGGCCUCGUUGGUCACCUCUUCACCCGAUACCAAGCUACUCCUCGUCCUCGAUUGCGUCGCUAGUCCCUUCCCCACUCCCACUCCCUCAGUUGCCUCUCCACCCGACGUCGAGCUCUCCCAUGUCUCCAGCUGCAUCGCCGGCCCCAUCCCCCCUCUCCCUCGUCGCCUGCCACGUUGCGAGCCCUCAUUGUCAACAAAAAGAGCGAACUAAACAUGUUUUUAGUCUUCUAAUGUGGUAAUUAACUUUAGUUUACCAUUAUGGCUGAGACUUUAAUAUCUCAAUUCCUAUAAUAUAAGCUGAAAAAUUGGGGAAUCUAAGGAUAUGCCGGAUCUUUCCAAUUUUUCUAGGUUUCCUUCUAGGCCAAGAUAACUGAGAUUGCAGUCAUCUUGGUAUAAGCUGCCCACUGAUGGCCAAGAUUACUGGCUUUAAAAACCUUGACCUUAAUUUGUCGAAGUGCCAGACACUUAACUGAGAUGUUAUUAGCUUGCAUGGACAUCAAAGAUGUUUCAGUAAGGACAAGGAUUAAAGUUGUGUCUACUGGUUAGAAAAGGGGAGAGCAAGAGCUAAGUUACUUUGACCGAAGUUGUGCAAAAUGACAUUGAAAAGCUUGCUUUGAAGAGGUCGUUCAUGUGGAAAGGAAAGAGCAUUCAGUCAAUUUAGAUGUUUGAUCUUACUCUUCUGAGGGUCACAAGGUUUUCUUUUGAUUUUUGGGCCAGGUUAGCCGUGGUCCAUUGAACUCAAUGAAUUUAUAGUCAUUUUUGUUUAGUGGUUGUCUUUGUUCCUGUAGUGAGAUUCUUCACAGGAUGCUGUGGGUGGUGAUAUCUUUUUUUCCAGUCUAUCUAGAAAUUGUCAGCANNNNNNNNNNNNNNNNNNNNNNNNNNNUAGUGUUUAGACACCUCACUUUCAGUGGGUUAGCAGGCAGGGUAUUCAUUGUGGUCUGGGUUGCCGGCAACUAAGUAAUGUAAGAAAUAUUAGCCACCCUUCGCCGCUGGUCUGCAAGUUGAAGGUGGCAUAAAAUUUUCCCACCCUAUCAUAAAAUGAUCAAGUGGCUGAUCUGCCCUACAUUUCCUUUAAGCAGUUCGGGAUAAUCUGAGUGGGUUCUGAUCAAGGGCAUUGUAUUCCAAAGCCAAUAAAUGUGUGCUCCAAUACAAAUCUCCAGUUCAAGUGUAUCGUGUUCAAGUUUUUCCAGUGGCAUUGCUUCAAGUUCUACUCAAAAGGUUGCUUGACCAAAUUCUAUUGUUCUCAUUGUUGGUUCUGAAUGCUUUUUCAGACAUGCCUAGGGAUAAUGCAGAAUUUCUCUCUCGAUAGUAACUAUAUAUGAAUUUGGUUCAUUGUUUCCUAUGAUGGGUUAUAAAUUUUUGGCAUUACUGUAAGUUUUUAAGAUACUAUUUGCUUAUUCCUAAGGUCUUAAACUUGAUUACUUGUACCUUCUUUGGCUUCAUAUUGUUCUUGAUGAACCAGAUUGUAAUUUGUGUCUGAUGACCUAGAUCCUUGGAGACUCCCAUCUCAAGAUGUCAGAACAUUGAAGGAAGUGAUCUUAGUGAAGCUAUGUCAAAGGGUAAAUAUUUUUUCUGCUUUAAUAUUAUUCUUUUGGAAUGAUCUAAAGAUACUUGAGUCUCAUUAUUUUUAGUUCCUUCUUUCACAUAUGGGAAAUAGCAGAAAUCAUCAGGGACAACUAUAGUAUUGAAUGUGAUAUUGACAAUAACAAGAAGCAAACAAAGCUGAAGUCUAAGAGACAAGAGCAAAAUAAGUUUGAUGAGUAAGACCUUUUCUUCUCAUUCAUUUCUUUUUCCAUUUGUGCACAAUAUUAUAAUUAUUCAAAUGAUUGCUUGGUUUCUUUUUUUGUCAUUGUAUGCCCCCUUGAUCAUUCCAGAGGUGUUGGUUUGUGCUCCCCAACAAUGUUGAAUGCUGAUCUGCCACCAGAAUUGAGAUGCUUUCUUUGUAACACAAUCUUUAAAGAGGCUGUGAUGAUACCAUGCUGCCAACAUAGUUUUUGUGACAAGUGUAAGUUAUAUAUGAAGAGCCUUUAGGAAUUUUUACUGUUUAAUAUAACAAUUUUACACUUUGCAGUUAAUAUGAUUCUUAAACUUUUAAUUUGAAAUUUGCUUUGGGUUUCAAAGCACUAUCCUUUUCGUAUGGUGUAAAAAUUGCUCUGAGAAUUGCUUAAUCUUAUGCUAACGGUGAAAGCUUGCUUGUUCCUUUGAAAUCUAUUGAACUAUGUUGCUUGGCUGAUUGCACACUUCUUAGCAGGCAAAAUCUAGGGUGCGCCACUUGCUGCACUCUUUUGUUCUUACAGCUGCGUCUUGUGAUUCAUCUAACUGAAUUUGGUCAACUGUCUCACUUUGCUUCCAUGUAAUGUUAUCAACUGCUCUGUAUUUCCCAAGAUACAAACUCCAAUUUAAUGAAUUCUUGCUUUGCAUUAUUCAUAAUUACCUUUUGAUUAGAUGUUUCCUAGGCACGUCUAGUUUUUAAACUUUUGUGGGACUUGCUUCCAAUCGAGGCUACUUAGGAUCAACUUGAACAUCAGUAUGCCAACUACUCUAUGCCUUAACGUCCUUCUAUUUUAUGUACAUAUGUUUAUGUAUGUCUGUGUGUGUGGUUUUGAGGUAGCUAUCUAUCAGUUGGGUUUAACCUCAAAUCUUGUGAAUGCAAAAUAUAUGAUAGAUCUUUUAGGUUAGAAUUUAUGCCAUUAGUCAUGAUAUGCAAUAUUAAAAAUGCAAGGAACUUGAGUCAGAUUUUUUAAAGUUCUCUACUUAUCCGUUGAGCGCUCAAAAAAUGUACAGCUUGUAAUGGCAAGAUUUGUUGAUUUGCUCUGUUUAUAGUCUAAAAGCACUAAACCAGUGUCAUUUGGUCCCCAUAAGAUGUAUAGAUCAUAGCCUAUGGAAGUGGUACUAUCUCGAACUGCCCGGUUCGGGGCGUACCGAGCCAAACCAGAGGUGGAUCAGCUGUCUGCCGACUUCAUUUAAAAAAAAAAAUCAAAAAAUGGGGCUAGAGACCUGCUUUGGUUUCGAAACAUGGACUUUGGCCCUGUUACGCCACAGCCAAAGGAGAGGGGGCCCGAAAGGCCUCUCCCUCUCCCUCCUCUCUUCCGCUUUUUUCCCUCUCCCUCCUCUCUUCCGCCUUUUUCCCUCUCCCUUGCCCUCCCUCCCUCUCUCUCUUCCUCUCUUUCGUUAUGUUGCGGUGUCAGAGGAGAGGGGGCUUGAAAGCCUUCUCCCUCUCCCUCUCUUGGCCUCUCUAUCUCCCCCUCCCUCUUUCCCUCCCUUCCUCACUCCCUCUCUCCCUCCCCCUGCUGCUGCUCUCUCUCUCUCUUUUCCUCUCUUUCCUUCUCUCUCUUCCCUUCUCUCGCCGCCUCCUUUGUUGGUGCGCUGCGAGUUGGUACGACAUGAUAUCAUACCAUAUCGUACUUUCGUAGGGCAAUCGGUAUGGGUCCCAAUACUAGUCUCGUUGACCUUGUCAUAGCCAAUGGUAUGAAUUCUCAUACAAAAUGGUUUGCCCCUAGGUCUACUGUUCUCACCUAUUCUUUGUCCGUAGGAUGCAUAAGUUGUAAUGACUAAGAACCUCCCUCAGAAAGGACUAGUCAAAAGGUUCUAUCUAGUGCAUAGCUGAUACGGAAUUAAACAAACUCCUGCAUGGGUCUUCACAUUUAGUUCCACAUUGGUUGUAUGUUGGGUUGUUAAAAUGGUAUCAAAGCCAAGGAUUCCAAUUAAUAACUUAUGUCUAGCAUUUUAGGUGAGAUCCUGGGUUGUUAAAAUGGUAUUAGAGCAGAAUCGGUCUAUGCUCUGUUUGGAUUAGGGAAUACUGGAACACAAUCCCAUUUGUGGUUGAUCAUGAGCCGAUCGUGGUGUUUUUUAUUUUGAUUGUACUUUUUUUAUUUGGAUGUCAGGGCUUAAAUGGGGAGAUUGUGCAAGGACCCAUAUUGGCUUGUGUUUAGUCCCACGCUAGUUGUGUGUUGGGAAGGUUUUGGAUACACAAGCAAGGCCACGGACUCAAAUAAAACGUUUUGGCUGGACCUUUUUAGGUGAGGUCUUGGGUCAUUAUGUAGCUCACGAACUUCCAAAACAUUUGAUUUUUGGUUUUAGGCAGUAUAAUGUUUUACAUAGCAACCAAUGAAGAUACAUCAUACGUGAUAUGUCACCUCUUGAUAAUUUCUGAUGAUUGUCACUCAUUUUAGAAAGGACUUAUGUGCCCACAAGAUUGAAAAGAAGACAUGAUUCUUUGUAGGAGUGAAUGGAUUGAACUGUGCUUCCUUAGAAAGGUUCUAUCAUUCCGCUCCCACCAAACUCCCCAACAAAUAGCAGUCCUGCCCUUACUUCCAAAGAUUUCCGAUUUUUACUCUCAAAUAAUUUAACGGCAACUAGAUGGCCACCUGGGAGUUUUUUAAAAACAUACCCAAAGCCUCCUUUACCUAAUUUUUCUUUAAAGUGGCAUGUGAUUGCAGUAACACCGGUGAGGCAUACCUCGUUGGUGCUAGGGUUCUAUGAUUUCGAAGAAACUUGUCCAGAGUUUAUUGGCAUCCAUAUUCUCCAAAAUAUGACCAGUAUUGCCAGCGCUGCAAAUAUAAGUUAUCUAAAGAUCUUUGAUGUAAGUUGUUAUUUAUAAAGAUAAGUAAGCAAAAUAGUUUGAGCCGCGGGUCUCAAAAUCAUUUGGGAUUUUACCUAUAUAGAACUGUACAAUGACAAUCCAUAUUGUCACGCCAAGUGUGAUCCAGUAAACAAAAGUGUAACUUGCCUUGUAAUUAUAACAUUUUACAAAACUAAUCUCACUUAGUUUUAUUAAGGAGACCAAAGAUAGAAUCUGUUUGCUCUUAAAAUGAUCGAAAAACUUACUGCAUGUCAUGUGAAGGAAACAAAUGAGGAGAUGAAUACAAUUAUACAUGUUUCUUAAAAAAAAUGAAAGAGAAAAAAGAAAGCAAAGAUGAUCUGUGGGCUAUUAUCCAGCAGCUCAAGUUUAGACAAUGCAUUUGGAAAAUAGAUGCAUAUAAAUGAUGGCCGUGCACCUCCAUACUUCUCUGAGACAGGAGUGGAUGAUAUGAAGACUUGUGAAUCUGCUAGGCUUUUUCCACAAAAUAGUGCACCCCUUCAAUGAGAGUUUGAAAAUAUUUUUGUUGAAUUCAUGACAGGAGCAUCAGUGGCCAUGAAGACUAUAGCUAAAAGUCUGCAGUAGGUUUCACGAUACCUCACUUCAUAUGCCCCUCUAUCUUCUAUAACAUAGACUAAUUUGUUAUUCCGGUUCAGGCAUGUAACAGGCCAAUACAUUUCAAUUGUGUAUUGCUCGAGUACAGUGUACAAAACUAGCCCAUGCCCAUACAAGAUAGAAGUAUAAAUUAUGGGAGGUCUCAUUUGGUGACCAGGACUCAAGGGGAAGGUGACAACUACCAUUUGCCAAGCAUGUAUUGACGAUAUUAAUUGCCUUAAAUUCAUAUGAGAUUUUGGUGACCUAGUGCUUACCUAAGUGAUAGUCAAAGGUAGUUUUGUUACUAUCACAGAUAAGUUGAUAUUUUGGAUUCGCACAUUCAAUCUGAUCCUCUUUUAAAUUGUAAGCGUAUCUGAUAUCUUGGAGCUGUUCACAAGAUGAUGGAGAACAGCUACUUGCUUCCAAAGGCCUCUAGCUAAUCCAAUAGUGGAGAUGAGAUAUUAGAGUAGAGAAUAGAGAGGAAGUUGCUGCAUCACAAUGCUGCUGGUUGAUUCCAGAAUGGAAUGAAACAUAAGCAUGCCGAAACAUGAUUGAGCACGGAGGAUUAGUUAUAUAAGACACCUCUGGAAAUUUCCCAUCUCAAACUUGUCUGAGAAAAAUAGUCGACUCUGACCUAAUUGGAGUCUAUCUGGCAUUUUGAACCAGAAAUUUUGAAUCAGUAGUCACACAAUGAUGGUCUCUUUUAAUAUGAUUAUGGAGCAGUUGGGACUAAAAUUUUAAAUCAGUAUUAACACAAAGAUGACCAAAAGGUCCGGUCCAAUCUGGCUGUGCUUGAUUUUUGCGUCAAACCUUGAAAUGUUGGGGGGAAAUGAUUACUCCUUCAAAACUACCUAAGCCACAGUGAUCACCUGUUAUUCAAUUAUUUGGGAUUUACUUCGUAAGUUCUUCUCAGAUUUGUAGCUGAAGUUCUGGUAAAAAUCAAUUGAGCUAGCUCAAGCUCACAUUGAUUGAAACAUAAACCAAGCUUGAGCAUAGCGUGUCUUGCUUGAGUUCAGCGCACUCUCCCAACAGUUGAAAUAGAUUUUUUUUAAUGCAAAAAGGAGGAAGCGAAAAGCUUCCCCUCAUAUUAUUGAGACGGUAGAUGCCCUUUUCAUCUAAAAGUUGAUCUAGCUGAAGGUAGGGAUUUAAAGUGUCAACUAGUUUGUGAUAGCAACAAAACAGUCUUGGACUAUCACUCAGGCAAGUAUUAUGUCAUCGAAAUCUCAUUAGUAUAAGAUGAUCAAUAUUGUAGGUAGAAGCUUGGCAAGUGGUAAUUGUCACCUUCGCUCAAGUCCUGGUCAGCAAACAGGAGCUCUAAUGAUUUAUACUUCCAUCUUGUAUAGGCAUGAUUUUUCUCAACUUGUCUGAGAAAAAUAGUUGACUCUGAUCUGAGUCUAUAGGCAAUUUUAACCAGAAAUUUUGAAUCAGCAGUCAUGCAAUGAUGAUCUGGUUUAGUAUGUCCAUAGGUCAACAUAAAAAUCCCCAAAAGGUCUGGUCGAAUCUGGUUGUGCUUGACUUAUGCAUCAAGACUUGAAAUGUUGGGGGGAAAAUGAUUACUCCUUCAAAGCUACCUAAGCUGCAAUGAUCACCUGUUAUUCAACUGUUUGAGAUUUUGCUUCGUAAAUCCAUCUCAGCAUUUGUAGAUGAAGUCAGGUAAAAAUCAAUUGAGCUGGCUCAAGCUAAUAUCGAUUGUAAUAUUAGCCAAGCUACUUGCUCGAGUUCAGCUCUCUCGCGACAGAAGGAUGUAAAUGUGUAACAUGGUCUCUCUUUGCUCAAAUAAAAGGUAAUCUGAUCUCUCUGUUGUACGAAUGAUAACAAUGAUUAUGGAUGUUAGGAAACUCAAUUUCGGAGAAAAAUGUGAAAACAUAAUUGAACUUAUUGUUUUUCCAAUGAAUUAAAAUAGAUUUUUUUAUGCAAAGAGGAGGAAGCAAAGAGCUUUCUCUCAUUUUAUUGAGCUCAGAAUAAUUUACAAAGAGUGAACAGAAACAAAAAAAAAAAAAAAUAAGAGUGGGAAGGGGCUGGUGAGAAACAGGGGAAGGCGAGUUAAAAACAGAAGAGAAGACAUAGCAAGUUGAGGAAGCAUACAUUGAACUAUGCUUCCUUAGAAAGGUUCAAUCAUUCUGCUUCCUUCAAACUUCUCAACAAAUAGCAGCCAACAGUUGAUCUCCUGCUCUUCCUUCCAAAGAUUUCGAAUUCUUGUUCCCCAACAGAGACUCUUUCCAAAGACUUCCAAAGACUCUAUUUAUUAAUUCAGGAUUUUUCUUUAAAUUAGACCAGUUGAUUUUAGCAUUAAAACCCCUUUAGGUGAUUGAUACGUACCUGACAUUGGUAUCUUAACCAAGAGAAUCAUGGGUAACAUAGUGUAUGGAUGGCUUUCUACUAUUAUGGUGGGGACACCUGAUAAGAUCACAAAAUGGAAGAAAGCGAAAACACUUCCACUUAUUAUUUAUUACCUGUUAUUCAAAAUUUUGGUUAGGCUUGGCUAGUUCAAACAGAUUCCAUGGAUUUCUGUGUCUUAUGCAUGAUGUAUUAAACUUGCUGUAGGUAUUCGUUCAGCAUUGGUUGAGAGGGCAAGAUGUCCCAUGUGUUCUUCCACCAGGUGCACUGUUAAAGACCUAUUGCCUAAUUUGUCACUUCGGCAGGCUAUUGAACAUUUCCUUGAGGCACAAGUGGCAGUUAAUGACUUAGAUAAGAACACUCCUAAAUAUGCUCCAGGUGAAAUAAAUUUAUAAUCCUGACUAUAAUAAUUGCCUGAUUAUUUGUUUCAGAUCUAUAUGUUAUUGCAUUCUUGAAUUGUAUGAAUUCAGAUGGGGAAUCAGGAAUUCAAGCAAAAGAAUUGUCUUGUGCUGUGUCUGUUCGUCAACAAGAACCACAAUUUCCAAACUCUCCUUCUGCAACAGGGAAGGGAUCCAAUCAGAUUAUGAUUGAAUCAGCAUAUGAGAAUAAAAGAAGUGCUGGUAUUAAUAUUCUUUUAGACACAGCUAAGUCUGUGAAAUCAGCUCCAUCAUCGCAUAAGGUCAACCAGAUAAAAGGUGAUGAAAAUAGCUCUGCAGAAGCUUUGAAGCAGAUGCAUGAGUUGCAAGAAUGUGGUAGUUCCUCAAAGUUGCCUCAGAGUCUUCCAUUGAACAAAGAAGGUAUGGUGCUUGCCGAAUUUGCGUUGUCUAUGAUAUGCUAGUGGUGCAUCAAAUUUCUAAAAUUGGAAGCAACAAACAUUUAUCUUUAAAAAUAGCAAUUGGGGACCACCACAAUACUGCAUCCAAGUAUCCAACUUGCAUUAGCACUUUUUAGUAAAUAUUAGGCAGCUUAGAUCUUUUGAAAUAGUUUUUUGGCAGUAUCUAUAUGUGCACCACUUAGAAAUAUCAUUUUGAACUUUUGAACCUGAGAACAGCACUGCCACAUAUCAUACAGAAUAACAGAAUAAUCUUAUGGUAGUAUAAUCUUUGAGGCUAAUCAUAUAAUGUAAGGUAUAUCUUGAUUCUGACAGUAUUACUUUAGAAAGAGACAAGCAACAUGUCAGCACUCUAGUUUAGAAUUGGUCUUGGCUGCAACUUUGGUUGGUUUCCAGCUUACAUAUGACUGUCAAAUUUAACUUUGCAUGAACUUGCAUGAACUUGCUGGCUAGUUUGAAUUUAUUACCAACUUCUCUUAUGUACGAUGGUUCCCAUUAUUCCAGUUAAUUUGACUAUCCAGAGAAAGAAGGGGUCUGCCUUUAACACUCCAGGUAAUAUUAGUUGUUGCAAAUGCUAAUUCAUUCCUUGGUUUGUAAAACGCCAUUGCAUAUUUUCACUUUAUUGUUGCACAUGCUUCACAUUUUGCAGAUGGAAGCGGGGCUUUAAUGCCACCGAGUAAGAACAGAAAGGUGAUUUCAUCUUAGUUUCUCUUUGUUGGUAGCAUCUUGGUUUCCUUGAGCAUGGACUUCAUAGAUAUCCACGGAAUUUAUAAUGCAAAGCUGGUCAACUUACGAUAGAAGGUUGUAUUGUUAACUACCUGCAACAAGUGGCUGCAUGACCAGUAAUUUGGGAAUUUGGUGGAAACCUAUUAUUUGCUGGUCAAAAGGUGUGGCUUAUCAUAAGAGGGUGGUGGCAUUAUGCAUUAUCACAUAAUAAAUUAGGAUUGUUUCGUUUUAAGCUAAUUGUGGAGGGAGAAGCUAAUUGUGGAGGGAGACGGGGAAUAGGCUGAUACUAUCACUGGUGUUUGCAACUUAUAUCUGGUUCUCUAGUUCGUGGUGAUCCAAAUGCUUCAUAGUUGUCAUCAUUUAAAUCUUUUGAAUGCUAUUAUGCAAGGUUUUGCCAAGUGUUUUAUUUUGGGAGUGCUUUUAUGUUGGAAUUCUGAUCUAGUUUGUCAAAGUAACAGGGCACCCGAAAUUGUUACAUGUGUGGCUCCCCUAACCAUUUGGUUCGUGAUUGUCCAGCAGCUUCCAAUCCAUACCCAGGUAAUUAGAUUAUUAAGGUGCACUUAUCUCAGAAGUAAGUAAACAUAAAAAUGUUACGGUCCUUAUGAGGUGUUCUUUUGCCAUGAGUUUUCAGGAGAUGCUGCAUUCCCUGGGGGCAUCUCAGCUUAUGGACAUCCUUUCUGGCAUGGGGCUUCAUUACCCCAUUUUAGGCCUUAUGCAAAUAUAUAUGGUGCCCCUGGUGUGAUGCCCUUUGAUCCAACUGUUCUCCAAGUUUCACCUUUCGGGAUGCCUUCAUAUAUGCCAUCAUUAUAUGCUGGCAUGGCAGGACCCUAGUAAGCUACCCUUUAUGUCUUCACACUUAUCUUAUUUCUACCCCCACCUUAAGGGCUUAAAUUUUACUGAACUCACUUAAUGAUUUAUAAACUGUUGUAUUAGAUGUCAGAAUCAUGUUUUUAAUUAAUUUUUCACCAGUUUGAUGAGGAUGGGAGGUGUACCACCUCCCUUGAUGGCUGGAGCAGAACAUCCUCUUUCUCAUGCUGAAUUUAUGAAUCUUCAGGAUGGUGAACGGAAGCCCAAGCUUUUGAAUGAAUGUCGAGAGAGGUAAUAAUAUUAAGUUCCAUCUGAAACUUCAGCCUCAUUCUCAUCUGGUUUAUACAUUCAAAGGUUCUGCCUUAUAAAAUAUUUGUAAGUGUUGCCUGCUGAAUUAUUGACUGUGUGAUAGAGCGAACUUCUCAUGGCCUUGAAUGCAUAGGUUGUACACCUUAGUCUGGACCAUGUUACUAGUUUACCCUUUUUCAGAUGCAUUGUUGGUCAAAAGUUGCACCACUUUCAUCUCAACUGCAUAUCCGAUCUCUUAUGUUUGAUAGCUCUUUGUAUUUCUUCUAAUUGUCACUAUUUGAAGGUCAAAUGGUCAAGUCAGUGUUAUAAAUAUUAGUAAUGGGGCUUUUUGUCGCCCUUGCUUGAGUUUGACUAUUAAUUUCAUUUUCCAAUGUUUUGCUGCUGGCAGUGGUGGCUAUCACAAAUCUUUCAGGUUAUGGUCAAUAAAUAAAGGCCUUCUGUUGGUCUGCUGUACAGGUGUCCUCUAUAUUCUUGUUGUGGAUUUUCACCAAAACCUAUAAAUUUGGCUCAUUCAAAAAGAAAAAGAAAAAGAGGAAGGACUAGACACAAAGUUAUUGCUAAUAAUAACUAAGAGAAAUGUACUUACAUACUUUUGAUCUUAGUUGGUUUGAUAUUUUAAAAUCUCUGUUUAUUUGCAUAUUUCGAGAUCUAUUUCUUUUAAAAAAAGAAAAUUCUGCUUAGAAUUUAUAUAAUCUAAUUCCUUUUGAGGCAUCUAGCAACCUAUAUUUAGUUCUAAAUAAUUAUAUAUGACUAGUGUCUGGAAUGUGCUUUGCUUGUGACUUAAAUGAAAGAAAAGAAGGUAGUGGCCUCAUAGAAGAGGGGGAAGACUGUUACCCAGUUUUGGUCCUGGUAAUCUGAGGUCCUAGUAGGGGCAGAUUGGGGACUGACCUAACCUUUGCCAUAUUUUGUACGAAGUGGCUGGCCCAUACUCGGCCAUGUUAGUCCAACUGCUGGAUGUGGUAUUGGUAAAUCAAGUGUAUCUAAAUUAUAUACAGAAGGAAGAAGAGACAAGAUAAGAACUGCUUCUUAGUCACGUAGGUGUGGACUACAUAACAACAAAGUUAUGGUUAAGUAGUCACUGACUUUUUAGGUGUGGGCCCCUCUUUUGUCCAAAAGUUAGUUUGAUAGGAUUUUGGCAGAAUGCAGGAUUGUUAUGAGGUUGAGAAGUUCAUGGAACUUCCGCAGUUCCUUGAGCUUGAAUCUGACAUGUUAGAUAAGCUUGUUGGUCAACAUGAUAGAAAAUAAGGGAAACUGAAAAACCUAAAUUUUUCUUUUUCUAAAUAAAUUUAUUAUAUCAGAAGGGAUAACAACAUGGAUAAACCUAUACAAGGAGAUAAUGACUCUUUCAAAGAUUUCUUGCAGUCAUGUGCCUGAAGAGAAUAUGAAUGAUUAGUUUGCAGUCUGAAUACCGUUUGUUUAUUAUAAGAUGUGCCUUUUAUUUUUCUGCAUCCUCUUGAGGCCUGCACCUUGACAUCACCUUUUCUUGUAGUACACCUUUUGAGGGCUCUCAGAUAGUCGUUAUUUGUUAUGUUGGUUACUUCCCAAGUGUGUAACAAGUUUGUGUGAUGUUAACCUUAUGAAGAUAAAUGCAUUAGUUUUCUAUGAAAAAAGAAGUGCUUUUGGUUUUAUGUAGGAUGUAAGUGGGAUAAGAUUUCAGUGCUUAUUUAGGGCACAGGAAUACAUUCCUCAAAGAUGUUUAUGUUUUCAGCAAUAUGAGUUGAUGUACCUCGACAUGGAGUCUGAUGGUUGCUUCCUUCCUAGGGCUGCAAUCCAUAUGAUUAGCAUUGACAGAAUUUUUCUUUUUUCUUCCUGGUGUAUAUGCUGUUAAUAUUUGAAUAUAGAAGUUGGGCCAAACAGAAUUGUGUAUCUACAAAUAUUCUUGUCCGGCUGUGCUUCCACUUGAAAGUGCAACUUUUAGUCUUAUUGCAAAGAAUAUAAUGAUUCACCUUUUCCUGAAUUAUGCUAUUAACUUUUUUAAUUAUCUGGGCUUCUCAGAGAACUUGAUUAUGAUGCUAUAUCUGAAGAUAAUCGCUAUAAUGAAGCAAGAAGAAGAUCGCAUGAACGGAAACAUUACUUAGAUAAGGAGCCCAUUAGAAGCUGCUCUGACAGUGACAGCCAGAGGAUACACAAGAAAGACCCACUUGAGAAACAUCAUAGCCCAUCCCAUCGAAGGCCAGGAUUCAAUUCAGAUGAAGAAAUUUACUCAGCUGAUCUGAAACACAAGGAGUCAUAUGCAUCAGUUUCUAGAAGAAAUCAAAGGUCGCAUUACUCUGAGAAAUCAAAAUCUGAAAGGCAGGAUGCAUCUAACAGCUCCAACUGGCAUAGUAGAGACAGGAGAAAACAUAAGCAUAGAAGUUCUAAAAAAACACAGUGAAAAAAGAGGUCAAUGUAGCAGUGAUUAUGGCCGAAGAAGUCAUCAUCGGAAUCAGAAAGAGGUACCUGAUGAUCUUGAGAAGGAUUUGAAAGAUCCUCACAGACACAGUUGCAAGCAUCAUAAUCACUCAGAAAACGGUUUGGAACCAGAUCUCUCGAGUGGCCGGAGACAACUCAUCAAGGAGAAAGAAUCCAGUCAUAGUUCCAGGCACUCCAAGUCAAAGGUAAAUUUGAGAGAUGACCAGUUGGAGGUUGACAGAUGGGAGAUGGUUGAUAGUUCAGAUGAGGAUUACAGAGGAGAGAAUUAUCACCAUAAGCGGAAGAGAACCCACUAAAUCUUGGGAAUUUUCUGUUAUUUUAUGGGCACAUCUUACUAACACCAUCAAGGGAGUGGCUUGUAUCAUACAGCUGGAGAUGUGCAGUAUCACAGCCACAACAAACAUAUCAUCGAAGGUAAAUGUAUAUAUUGGAACCUGAUUUUUUCUGUUUAUUGUGACAAUUGAUCUAGUACCUACCAUUUUCCUUUAAUUUUAACUCGAGAUAUUUGUACAAAGUUAUAUGUUAUUUUCUUUUGCUAAAAUACAGGAUAUAGUUGAUGUCCAAUGAUUUGGGAAGAUCAAGAUCUGAUGUGAUUUGAAAUGUUGAUUUUGUUGAUACAGAUUGGGAAAGACCUGAUGGGCAUUUGACAAUAACAUUUAUUAAUAUCUGCGAUUCUAACAAUUUCUUUAUGUUGAUUUUAAGGGAUCGUGGUCUUUUUAGAAAAAUGUUUUACCCCUUGUAAAAGGUUGAAGCUUUCGAUGAGUAGUGAGCAUAGCCCAGUACUAUCAGGGGAUUGAAGUUGGCUAAGGUAUGCACUCAAUAACUUAGAGACCAGUUUGUAUUCAGUUGCAUCUUCUUUACCUAGAUGGGGAAGACCCCAGCAAUGCCAAUCAUGUGGUUUUAUAUCAUGAGGAGGUUUUAAGAAUAUCAAGGUUUUUAAAAACAUCUUCAAAAGUCAUAUAACCUGCAUCUUUAAAACUACAUAAAAUAAUCACGGUUCUCCUGUGCAAUGCAAGAAUUACUCAAACCAGCUCGGAUCAGCCAAAAUAACACCCAGAAUUGUGGCAGAUAAGACUGGCCUAAAUCUAUCAGGUUUCUUCCUGAAUCAACUGACUUUUUAAAGGUUUAAUCAAUUGGUUGAGUUUUUAAAGAUUGACCAACCCAAUUAUGUUGAUUACAAAACCUACAUCUUCUAUGAAUUAGGUAUGUGCUUUUAUGGCAGCUUUUCAAUCAAAAAUCCCAUUUUUUAAAAAAUGUAGAUUUUUUAUAGGCACUAUUUGUAAAUGUAUACCCUAGGUCAGUUUCCUCUAUAAUUUUUUAUAUUUAAAUGCUUUCCUGAUGUUAGCAUUUGCUUCUCGGCGGUCUCUUUUAACAAACAAAUUAUGUAUAUAUUAAGGAAAUUAAAAAACACUGUGGUUGUUUUCUUGAGACUAGUUUAUAUACCUUUAUUUUUGUUGGUUUCAUUUAGAUAAUAAUAUCCACAAACCAGUUCUGCUAUUGAACUUAAUGCUAUACCAGAAUCCACAGAUCGUUAUAUCUUUUUUCUGGAAUGAUGAUCUGCUGAUGGAAUCUUAAUUUGUUGUUUAUGGUCUGAUUCGACUUUUAUCCUAAUGAUUAAUUUGUCCUAAUUUGUUGUUUUGGUCCUGAUUCUACAUGUUAUUUUUGUUCCAAGUUUUGAAUCUUGAAAAUAAUAUAUGAAUGAUCUGUUUUUUUUUCUUUUCUUGUGGAAGCAGCUCUCGACAAGUAAAUCCAGAGAUAAUUGCUAUGCUACUUGUAAACCCAUCUGCACAUAUAAUUUGUUUAAGAUAAUAAAGGAGGAGAUUGGAAGAACAAGUGAUUUUUAAGAGCAAAACUUAUGUAUGCAAGCUUAAUGAGUGUUGUUGGAUUGAAAGUAAAUAUUGUUGUGUGAAGGUUCUGCGAAAACAAGUCUGAAAGAUUGCCUUCCUGCUAGUUAAAUUGCAGGAACCUCUAACUCGAAAACAGUUUUGUCCAAGGUUUUAAAAUCAAGAUACUAGCUAACACUCGUUGUGUGUGCGCAGGCAUGUUGUGCGCGCGCGCUGUGCCGUGUGCGUGCGCGCGCGCGCGCUGUGCCGUGUGCGUGUGCGUGUGUUGUGUGUGCGCAUGCCUGCGUCCGCAUGCGUGUGCGUGUCCUUGCACACGCACAUGCUUGUUGAAAUCUUUUAUGGUCAUAACAAAUGAAAUUGAUUUAUUUCCAUGAACGUGCAUGUGCGUGUUGAAAUCUUUUUAUGGAUGUAACAAAUGAAAUUGAUUUAUUUCCAUGAAUUUCAUCAACUUAUUGAUUUGUUAAAUGAAUUUAAUUGCUAAAUAAUGUUUUUUCUUUUUUAUUUUAGCUGCUAUUCUUAAUCAUCCUUGUCUCUCCCAUGUUUGCUAUUUCUGCCUAAAUUUGCUUGCUCUUAUUUUUAUGACUUCUUUGCAUUACAUGGUAAUUAUAGUUUCUGUUUCACAAAAUCAUUCCUGAAUACCAAAUCUAUCAUUUUUAUCCUUGUUUUUCUCUACUUUUAGUAGUAGAGUGUCGUUAAAGACAUUGUUCAAUUCUCUUUGGACUCCCAUAAUGAUAGGAUGAGAACCAUCAGCAAAGUGAAUUGCCCGGGUAUUGCAGGGAUUUUUGCUAGGGUAAGCCAGGGAAUAGAUGUAGGAGAGAGGGGAGAGGACAUGUGAGGUUUUUGUUAUCUUGCUGAGCACUCAAUGGUGACAUUCUCAACAAUUUCUGGCCUCAAAAGGUGUAUGCUAUUUGGUGACUUGGUCUUGACACUACACCUUUAGGGCAUGUUUGAUUGGGGGAAGUUGGACUCUAAAAUGGAAAUAGAAAUGAGUCUCUCAUUCUAGCUGUUAAUUAGAGGAGUCUAAUUCCUAUUCCGAUUUUAUGGAGUAAUGGAGGAUAGCCCUAAUCCUCCAAAACUUAAUCUGUACUCUCUCUUAGAAUUUAAAUCUCAUUCUGAUUCCAAUUCUGGUCACGAACUGAAUGCAUUGAAGGAUGUGGCUGUUCUGAUUUUCAUUCCGAUUCCGUUUCCAGUAGCAUACCAAAUGUAUCCUAAAAGCCCAUGGACUGUCAGCAACAUUUUCGUGGCCAUAGAGAAUAAUAUCAGCUGGCUUUUGCUGAUUUUACUAUCUAGAUAGCAACACCAGGUGGUUGUAUCUGCUGUCCAUUCUUGGGGACCACAAGAGAAGAGGGGGAGGGUUGUCUUCAAUUUUCUAUGUUAAAAAUGGAAAUUUGAUCCAGAGGAAAUGCAUUGCGGUAGCUGUGGGAAGAGCAGCAGCAUCAGGUAUAUUGAGGAUAGCUAUACAAAUCUUACAGCUGUUUCUAUUUAAUGCAUGCUUCAACUGAAACAAGAGGUAUUUAUAUCUGAAUUUAUAUAUCGGUUUGUUCUCGUAUCGUGGCCUAUUUAUAUGAUGUGCUUGAUCUUGAAAUAUCUGCUGAUUCAUCUUUGGUCAUCUUUGGUCAAUAUGCGGUCCGUUUAAGAAUGGGCACUUAAUAUUCUGAAUAUCUGAUGAUAUUUUUAAAGUGAAACUAAUAAAUGCCUUUUGUAUUGAUCAUAAUAUAUUGACUAAAUGAAAAAUCUCCCAAUGAUACAAUAAGCGGGUUUAAAAGUCUGAGUUCAAACAUUGAUAUCACAUAAUUCAACAUUUUGGUAUAUUCAUUUCUACUGGCUAAGAUAUAUUUAGCUGGUAUCAGUAUGAACUGCACUGUUGAUUGCUUGAUGCGCCAUAAACUUAGGACGAAAAUCAUGGAAAGUGCGAAUAAACUCUAUCAGGUACCUGCAGCUACCUAGAGCUGCAGUUCUGAUGUCCAAAGAUUACUUGCUGGGCAAUGUGGUGUUUUAGCCCAAUGUGGUGUUGCAUCAAACUCUGGUUGUGAUUGAUCUAUAUAGGUAAAAUACAUCAUAGAAACUAGUGAUUUUCCAUGAUUGUUGGACUAAUGGAAUGUGAAUGACCGGGGAAGCAACUCUCGUUCAAGCUUUAAAUUAAUGUCAGGACAUGGAGAUCUUUGUUUGGAUGAUAUGCCAAUUUCUUGGUCACCAACACCCCUGUAAGAAAACUUCGGCACUAGAACCGUAUGACCAUUGACCAGGGGAACUUUUACCUACCAUGUUCGCUAGUCUCGAGCUUCACUCAAUCAGCUCUCAUAUUUCGUCAGUGAGAUAUCACCUAAUCAUGGUGUUCAUUAGUGAGGCUACUCAGCGGGGUGGCAGUGGUUUCAUAAAACAUGACUUUUUUAUAAGAUAGAAUUACAACAAGGUUUGCUAGCUGCUGGAAACUCAAAGGUGGCCUUUGCGGUGGUUUUAAGCCAUGGUGUUAUGACCCUCUAUUAUUGAGGUAAAUAAUAAAAAAAUAAGAUUUUUUUUGUAUGUAUAUGCUUCUAAAUAUAUGAAAUUGUAUGAAUAUCUUCGUAAAAUUAUUAUUUGCAUGUAUGUGUGUGUAUAUAUAUAUAUAUGUAUAUAUAUAUAUAUAUAUGUAUAUAUAUGUAUAUAUAUAUAUAUNNNNNNNNNNNNNNNNNNNNAUAUAUAUAUAUAUAUAUAUAUAUAUAUGUAUAUAUAUAUAUAUGUAUAUAUAUAUAUAUAUAUAUUAUAUAUAUAUAUAUGUAUAUUCAUACGUAUCCGUACUAUCUAACAUCAAUUAAAAAAAAAAUAAACGGCUUAAAAUUAAAAUGACUGAAAUACUUUUAUGGAUAGAUAUGGAAAAAAAAAUAUAAGGGUAUACAUGUAAAUAAAAACUUUACAAGGAUAUUUAUAUAAUUUUUUAUAUUUAAAAGAGUAUAUAUUUAUAAAAUUUAUUUAAAAAAUGGCGGAAAUUUGCUAAGUUUUUUAUAAUUCAGUUGGAACAACAAGUCAAAAAAAUAUUGAGCUAUAUUAUUAUUUUUUUUUAAAAUUAUAACUUGAUCAAGUUGGAAUAUUGGAUGAUCAUUUUGGUAAUACUAUUCUCCAUUUAAUUUUGAUAUAAUUAUCAUUAUUUAAUAUAUGGCACUUAUAUAUUUUUUAUUUUUUUAAAAGAUUAAAGCAUAUCAAAUUUAAAUUAACUAUAGAUGUUUGGAUUAGUAAAAUAUUUUUUAGUGAUUUGUAAAUAUUGAGUUGUUAUUUGUUUUUGAGGCAAGAAUUUCGUAAAAAACACAUGAUUCAUUCUUUAAGAGUUGAUAUUAACAUGAAACUAUGUGAUAUAAUAAUAUUAUUAUUUUUAUUUUUUAUUAAGAACAACAAAAUUAUCUUUAGUAAAUUUUGAUUAUUUUUUUGGAUUUUUUUAAGUAUAUACUUUUCUAAAUAUGUGUAAUUGCAUGAAUACUCUUGUAAAGUUGUUAUUUGCAUAUAUAUUCUUAUAAAGUUUUUUUUGCCCGUCUACCUGUAAGGAUAUUUCGAUCAUUUCAAGUUUAAAUUGUUUAUUUUUAACGUUGUUAAAUGGUAUGCGUACAUAUAUAAAAAAGAAAAAAAAGGAAAGGUAUCCAUGUAAAAUAAAUAUUUUAUGAGGGUAUACAUGGAAAUAGUAAUUUUUUAUGUGGGUAUUAAUAUAAUUUUGUAUAUUUUAAAAGAUAUACAUGCAAAAAAAUAAAAAUAUAAUAGUUGUUACUUUUUUUUAUUAUUAUAAUGAAUAACAUAGAGACCUUCACUUUCGCUCAUACUUUUUUUUAAAUAAAAUAAUAUUUGUUUCAAAUCUCAAAUUUUUUUUUCCUUUAAAAUGACAGAGAGACUGUCAUAGUUUUAAAUAAUAGUCCAAAAGUAUGUAUAAUUUUAUCUAAAAAAGCAAAGGAAAAGAUAAUACUGUUAUUUUCAUUAUUGCCUGUUAUUUUUCGUUGUAGCGCCAUUUAUAAUAGCAAUUAUUUCAAUGAUUUUUUCAUAUUAAAAUAUUGAAAAUUUAUUUUCUGAGAUAAAUAUUAGUCACCAAUAACGGGUAACAACAAUUUCAGGCAGAGCAUCAUAACAUGAUAAUGUAUUAUUUAAAACUAUGGUGAAAGCUUAAGUCAUUUCAUUCUUGAGUGUAAUUCAGACAAUUUAGUAGAAACUUUGACUUGCUGCUUAUUUGUCUUGUGGGAAUUGAUAAAUGACUCCCAUGUCCUAAUUUUCUUUGCAAUCUUGCAGGAACUAAUAAAUAACUCUUAACUUUGUUUUUGACUUGUAUGAUAUGUGAUUCCAAUGAAUGUCUAUCAAGAAGCAAAUGGUGCGGUUGGUUGAGUCGUGGCUUAUAUAACUAAUCCUAUAGAAACUAUAUCAUGGAACUCUAGUUUUACAGCUAUAACCCAUCUUUUAAAUAUUUUGUACGCCUACUCUCAUGGUUGUAUUUACUCUAGGAUUGGAUAAUGCAUCCUGCUUACCAAAAAAAAUAUGAAAAACAUUUCGAACAUCAAAGCAUGGCAUAUGCUUGAGCAAGCAUGAUGCAAAUGAAAACUUAUUAUCGACUCAACCAACGUCCUCGUUUUGAUUGAACUUCGAAGCCUGAUGAUUUUUGGCUGAUUUGUCCACACACGAGCAUGAUAUGAACAAUUGGGAAGACAUACAGCAGCAGCAUGAUGCAAACCUUUUGGAACUUAUUCUUGGAGGACAGAAGAAUCGAUUCAAAACCGAAAAAAAAGGUAUUCCUUAUCUGGUUGGUCCCAUGUAAACAUUUUAAAAAAGAUGCAACCAUUUGAGGAUGGCUCAACUGAGCCAUCCGUCGAGCUUAAGCAACAUGCUCUAGAUUACAAGUUUCAAUUCAUCAAAUAUGAGACAAGAUAAAAUAUCAAGUACUUAUAUUUAUCGUGCAAUAUGAGGAAGUGUCUCAUCGGUUUAAGGUUACGGAUAAUACAAAAGACAGUACCAACCAAGCUAGGAAAAAAUAUCCCACAAGCUUUGUUGGCCCCUCAUCUUCCGGUUCCUGAAUUAAUGAAUCAAACAUACUAAGAGAGUUAAGAAGAAUAAGGCAGAUUGAAAACGGUUAGUGUUAGUCAAAAUAAAUUAUUCAAUAUAUUCUGCAACUUCAUAAAUAACAUGUAUUCGACGGCAAUAGGAAUCUUUUUACGGGCUUUUGAUAAUAAUGGCAAUAGACAGGGGCAAGUAUAAAAGUUAAUCUUUGGUUGUGAGGGGAAAGCUUCAUAGUUCUCCAGCAUAAGAUCAUAUUUUUAAGCUGUAAGGCAAAAAUAGAAGUGAAAGAUACUAGGAUAGAGGUUUCUUCUUCUAUACCCAUUCUUAUAUGAAUGACUAUAAGCUUACUCCCAGUUUCAACUUCCAAGCUUAUGUCAACAUCCCCCAUUAUCAGUCAACACGUCAAGGUAUAUAAUAAGAAGACGGUGAAUGCUCUGGGAGCUAAACUAUUGCCACUUACAGGCAAGUCAGUAACUUGAUUCCAAGUUUCAUAUGGUUGAUCAUAAAGGCAUGAGCGUCCUAACAAUUUAUCUUUCCCCGUACGCAUCCAAGACCAAAUACUUCGAAUCAUAUAAUGUGAUGAGAAGAGAGUUCACGUUAUGUUAUAAUUCUUCUAAACAUUCAUAACAAAUUUGUUCCAGAUGACAGUUACAGAAUAAGUGGAUCUUAUGUAACAAGAACAUUGUUUAUGUCUUUUGAAUAUGUGAUAGCCAGGUCAUAAUGGAGUAACCUUAUUAUUACAUUAACGCCCGUAAAAGAAUAAGUGGUAGAAGAUGAAAUGAAAAAAAUAAAAAAGCAAAAAAAGAAAAAAGAAAAAGUAAGGAAAUGAGAUCUCUGGAUGUUCAAAGUGCAAUUAAAGAAUAUUACCUAGAUGAAGCAAGCAAUGUGGUUAAAUAGAAGUGGUCAAUGAGAUUUGUUGUUGCCGCUCUACACAUUACUCUAAAACAAAUUUCUUCAUCAUACUAUAUUAAUCUGCAAUCUGCAUAUCUAAUUAUCAGAAGGCCUAAGAGUAACUUACUAGCUAUUGCCUAAUUAAACUUGAUGCGAACUUCCGGAUGUUUUGUCGGAUCCUUGCAAGUUUUCCACACCAAACAUCUCUUAAAUCUUAAUUCCUUCCACCACCACCACCACCAAAGACUUACUUCAAUGGAAAUUCCCCUCCAACCAGUUAAAGUCUUCUUUGUUCCAUUUCCCUUGCAAUACACCAUGUCAAUUAUCAUCCAUGCUAUGACUCUGCCAUCGUAUUGCAAUGCACCAAGUGAAGCCUUUUCAUAAACUACUUUCUUAUAUUUCUGGAAAAAUUGGAUAAAAUUUGCAAGCUAUUCACUUUGCCUAAAACAAAAGUAGGUUUGUAAGAGGCCCCCAGCUUGUUAGUCAUGAAUUGAGAGAAUGGUGGAGCUGUGGAGAAAUCUUGGCAAAAGCCUAGAUGAAGAAUUCGAGAGUAAUAGAAAUAGCAAAGGAGAUUGAGUACCAUAGACACCAGGAUAGGAGAGAAUGACGAGAGAAAGUAUCCACUCCCUAGAAGCUUUGAUGGAGAAGCAACGAAAAAUUGGCAGAGAUGGAAAAGGAAAUCCAAGGAGUGGUCAGACCCAGAUGGCGGGGGUCUUCAAACCCAUAUGCACCGGCACCUGGUGUGCCCUAAUGCCUGCCCAUUAAACCCAUGUCAAGCUAAUCUGUCACCAACCAAAUAAAAAGGUAGAAGAGAAAUUUCAGGAUCCUUUUUAAUGGACUAGAUCUAUUGAGUCGAUAUCAUCGGAAGUUUCAUCACCACCUUUUACUAGCAAAUAGCUAAACACAAAAAAAGGAAAAAAGAAGAAGAAAAAAAACUCGUGUUUAGAUAUGUCACGCUUGAUGCUUCAUACUUCAUGAGAUUGAUGAGAGCCAUUGUUUAGUAGGAGAGGCUAGAAGCGAGAUGGAAUUAACCCAUUGACCAACCUUUUUUAUAGUAGGUGAAACAAUCAUAUGAUACGUUUAUAUCAUGUAAGCUGCAAAUUUAGUUCAUGUUAGAUUUCUCAAGCACCUUCUUUUGUGUUUUGUGGCAGAACUAACGAAAUGCAGCAGUGCCUAAUCCCAAACUGUUAGGUGUUAAUUGAUAGGUCUUUGUUUCCUCUUCAGGCUGCUUUAAAUCUGCCAUCGUUAACCACAGCAUAAUUUUACCGCAAAAUUAUAGUUGUGCUAUGAUCUCUCCAAUUCAAAACCUCCCAGCAAGUAAAACGCCUGAUAACGAUCACAAAGAACAAAUUUCCACCACCCCCACCCCCCAACACACACACACACAUUCCAACAAAAAAAAGAGAGGAUAAAGGCUAAAGCUAACACUCCAUAUUAGAUAAUAUAUAUUCUUCAGAAUUUCUCCAACUAAACCUACUUGAUUGCAUGGGGAUUAUGAAGUGUAACAAAGAGAAAAACCGCUACAUACCUGUGGUGGAGGAGAAGGCCAUUUUGGAGUUUGCGUUAUGUCAGCCUCAAAAGGCCAAACAUAUCUAUCUGGGUUCUCAAUUCUAGCCAGACUCCAGUCAUAUAAUCUUCUCUCAUCCUCGGAUGAGAGUAUUCCAUAAGAUUCCUAUGGGUGAGAAAAUUAGGUGAGAGGAGAUCCAAAUCACAAUUUAUAGUACAACAAUACUCACUAGACAUGUGAACAAUUAAAGAUAUUUCUAUAAAAAUAAAGCAACAAACCUUCAAGAGUUCUAGCUCUUUGCUGACUUCUUCUUCAUCCAAUCCUUUAUUUCUCAGUUCUUCACACUUCUUUUCGUAGGCGACCUGAACCUGGUAUACAAGUUACUUUCAUACAUUAAAAAGCUCUCGGAGUUAUUUUGAGGAGAAAAUGAGAAGGAGAAGAAACAUGCUAAAGAACAUAUCUCAAUAUGAAUGCACAUAAGGAACAUGUUUUCCAUGUUCUCUGGCAGCCAGUGGUUGAAUAAGAUAAACUACGUACAUGAUCAGAUUCUGUGCAGCUAACAUUCAGCUACGCCGUGCUUGUGUGUGCACUCACAUUUGUCCAAACUGCUUGAGUAUUAAAACAAAUAUCAGUUAUCGAGAUCAGUAAAAGAAAGCAGAUUAUUUGAGCCUCAGAAGAGUAAUAUAGAGAUACAGAUAUGCACAAUAUUUAGAUGCCACCAUGACUGGAAUUUUAUCUAAGAACCGUGAUGGUCCAACUCAUGAGCAUCUAAUUGAAUAUUCAGAAUAUAGGCUUAAUAAAGAGUAAUGGAAGCAUAAAGCAACAUCCAGGGAUGCAUCAACUUCCAACCCACUAUGUUUUGAAAAAUAAAGACAGAUUUGGAUUCCAAGAAAGAAAUUAUACACACACACACACACACACACACAUAAACAUGUAUGGAUACAUGCAUGCAUGCAUUUUUAAGUAUUUAUAUAUGUAAAUAUCCAUCGUUCUGAGAAGGACCGACAAUGCUUCUGCAAAGCCACGUGGGAUAGGUUGAUGAAAAUCAUUUUGAUUCCAAGAUAUCAGAACAAAGACUGUGUGCAUUUUCGCUUCUAUUGAAAGAAUAGAGGCCAAGGAAAUGUUAAAUAUGCAACGAAAAAGUUAUGGUCAUCAAAGUAUUAAUUUUUGGAAAUAUUAGUCAUGCGUAUGUCUUUCAGAUAUUUUCAGACAAGAUUAAAGAAAAUAUCCAACAUAUCCAACAUAAUCCACUAUUCUACAUAAUCAGUUGAGAGCAGUCAAGGCAGAUGCAAUGAUAAAACACAAACACAGAUUUUACCAAUACAUAUCCAUACUUUGCCCACAAGACAAGAAUUUGUAUGAGUAAUAUAUUUCUUAUCAACAACUCACAAAUCUCUUCUUCCUAUUUGUCUCUCCAAACCAACCAAACUAUUUUUAACAUACAGCAUGAUAAUUUAUUAAGUCAUGCACAUCUCAGGUGCUUAUGCAUAUCAAUACACUCAUUCAGACCCUUCUUUUACUAAAAACAGAGCAGCUUUUGAUCACAACUGCUCAGGAAAAUGCAGACUUUUUUCUCUUUGACCAACUGUCAAUCUAAAGUCAACCAUCUAAAAAUUUUGUGCCAACUCUUUGGCUGAGCCAACUUUAGGCAAAGACUGGCUUCCAUGACACUCCAAAGCACAAAAAAUUCAAGAUAAUUGCUUGGGAUUCAUAUCCUUUAAGACCUAUUUGUUGAGGCUUAUUAUAAGUACCCACCUCAAACUUCUUGUCGCCAUUGUAGUAUAACCAACCCUGGCAUCUGUCAUUCAUUUUAAUUGACGUGUGUUGGGAUUAAGAAAUCGAUCCAAAUUCAUCAAUUUACGGGCUUAUUGACAAAGAAUUAUCUGAUGAAGUAAGUAGCCAACUUUUGGUUCACAAACUUAUAUUUUUCAUUAAAUACAGAACGAUCUAAACCGCAAUUUAUUGCUUUGAGGAAAAAACAAAUAAAAUGGAUACUGAUUAAUUGGAAUCAAUCAUCAAAAAUUUGUAUCUAGUAAAUAUUCAAUCAAUAGAUUUUUAAAAUAUUUACAUAUAAAAAAAAGCACCUUCUUUGAUACAUACAAAACAAAGAGAAAUCCAAACCACAAUUUUUAAUUUUAAGAAAAAAUAACAAGCCGGAGACCUAUGAAUUUGAGCCAUUCAACGAAAACUAGUGUCCAAUAUCUACUCCAUAACUAGAUUGUAUUUCCUUUUAGAAAAAGCCAGCAUAAAAAUGACUUACAAAAAAAAAAAUCUUUUUAUCUCCUCAGCAACAACAGAAUAGUCGAUUUCUUGCUCAAAAUCGCAGAUCUUCCAGUCAAGUCAAAACAAAAAUAUUCCUCAUUUGAUGCACAAACGAAAAUAAGAACAAUAGCAACAAAUAAUUUAUCAAGAACCUCAUCGUAGGAAGUGCCUCUCGCGACCCCCAGCCUCCCGUAAUGAUCGGCAUUCGUAAUCGCUGCCAUCCAAAAUUAGAAAAAAGAAACAAAGAAAACAAGAAAACAUCAUUGAUAAAAAAAAAAAAAAUACAAGAACAAGAAGAAGGCUUAUUCAAGGGGCUUGGAGGGCGACUCACGGAUGCCUCGAAGGGCCUUCUCGACGUUGGAAGAGGAGAUGAGGGACGAGAAGGGCUUGGGGGCCGGGGGAGGAGACGAGGUGGCCGAGGCGGUAUCCUCCUCCUCGGCGGUGCCCGGAGCCGCCUCGGCGGAGCACUGGACGCGGAUGGUGAGAUUCCUCGGCCCCCGGCGUCCACAGUGGGAGGCGAAGGGCCGGGGCGUGGAGAGCUUCGCCGCCGGUGACGGGAAUCCGACGGUUGCCAUUUUAGCUUGGUAUUUUAAAUUUGGGGAGAGGAGACGGAUAAGUUGGGCUAGGAAAUUAAAGAUGUGGGGUGGCCGAGUCGGAUCACUCGCCGGUAGGCAACAACAAUUAAUCCUCCUCUCUUGCCCUGUUAGAAUGUUAGGUAUCAUAGGCAUGGUGGCUAAACUCAACUUUCAAAAUAUACGUUUUGUUUUUUUUUUUUUGGCGAACAACUUUUUUUAAUGAAGAUAGAAAUGAAUCAUGAUUUGAAAAUCAAGACAUUCAAACACA